This 61762-nucleotide long non-coding RNA is filed under the name Vitis vinifera (wine grape). RNAcentral's name for it is "long non-coding RNA (VVIN_LNC002006)". Lineage: Eukaryota; Viridiplantae; Streptophyta; Magnoliopsida; Vitales; Vitaceae. The record is from RNAcentral.
AAAAAAAAAAAAAAAAACCUUUAAUCACGAUAACUUAUUUAUUCAAAAGAAACGAAAACUUGUAAACAAGUGGAAAGGAUUUUCUAAUUGAAUCUCAACUAAGCAAAUAAGCCUAUAGGACCUAUCUUAUAUAUACCUCUAAUACCAAUUUGUGACACCCCAAACAUACACAAUUAUUUAACAUAUAACACUCUAGAAAUUAUAACUGAAAUUGAGUAUUAGGUAAAGAAUCCUAAAUAAUCAAAUGUGAAGUAGUUUAUAAUAGAAACACCUUUCUUAUCCCAAUCUUUCCUCACCAACGUCACUUGUACCUGAAAAGGGAAUAAUUGAGAAGGAUGAAUUCUACAACUUAAUAAAGAAAAAUAGUUUAAUAAGAAGGAUCAACAUGAGAGAUGUCACAUCUUUUAUAAAAAUCAAUUAACAAGUAAUUUUAUUUUAUUUAAUAAUUCAAUUCACUUUCUUGGAAAAUUCAACAUUUUCAAUUUAAAGAUAAAACAACAUAAUAUACUAAAAAAAAUCAAUUCAUAUUUAAAAGAAUUUUAUAAAUAAAUUAUUUCCUCUAGUUCACUCAUAAUAACAUUGUCCAAAAAGUGGGACUUAGUACUACGUGGUUAACCUCGAAUUAUUCCUCAACUUAUUCUAAUUAAUGGUAUACCAAUAACCCCUUUAUUGACUAGGGUUGCAUUGGAUCAUUACCCCACCAAGGGUAAUGAUGAUAAAAAAACUUAUUCCCUAUUGACUACAAGCCCUAAUAACUAGAGUUUUAAAACCAUUAUAAUAAAUUAAACUAUAAAAUUCACUUGUAAAAUAACAAACAAAUCUUACAAUAUUCCCAAUUUAUUUAAUAAGCUAAGGAAUAAAUCCAAACAUAUUUAAUAUAUAUAUAUAUAUAUAUAUUAUUUGAUCCUCUUUAGAAAAUUCAAACAUUUUGAUAUUUCCAAGAACAAAUGAAAAAAUAGAUGAAAAAAAAAAAAAGAAAAAGAAAAAAUGACUUAUUAAACUAUUAACCCUUACCUCAAAGAAUCCUUCAAUUUCUUAAAAGAAUUAAUUCAUACUUUUAAAUUACAAAAUUAAACAAAUAUUGGAAUUUUUUUAUUUCCAAUUCUUCAAAUCAAAGUUUUCCAAACUUUUUGUUUUUUUUAGCCGCUAAAGUAACAAAAAUACCUCACUUAUAAUUUUUUUAAAACACAUAAAUAUCCCUAAAAUCUUUUAAAAUUUUCAAAGUAUAUAAACAUCCCUAAAAUCAAGGUAUGGAUGUUACAAAAAAAUAAUAUUUUCUGUGAUUUUUCUGUUUUUGUGCUUAAAGGUAAUAUUGCACAAUGAUAUAUAUAUAUAUAUAUAUAUUUAUGCCUAAAAGUAGUCUUUUGCCAUGACAAUAUUUUUGAACCUUUAUAUCUAAAAAUAACCUUCUACCAUGAAUAAUUAUUUGUGCUUAAAAAUAAUAUUUUCUUAUGACUGUUUUUCUUGAUGAAAAACAAUUAUAUACAAACUCAUAGCAACGAACUCACCAUGAAAAUUCUUUUGUGUAAAAUUACAUUUUUUAGGGACUGACUUAUUUUUGGUGGUGAAAGCUCAUAUUUGUUGCAGCGACUAUAUUGUAGAUUAUAUGGUGGCUCCUUGUUUACUAUCAAUUGCCUAGCACCAUAUCCAGGCACAUUCUUAAUCUAUGUCAUGUAGCUUGAAAAUAUUUAUCCUAUCCAUAUAUAGUGUGGAGGGGCACUAACAAGAUAUUGAUCGGGAUGUAUUGUAUCCUUAAACACUCGGAUCAAUAAUUUAAAUAAUUUUUUUUUGCACGUUAUUGUGUUUUUCCUAAAAGGAUGCAAUUGAAAAUGAUUGUGCAGUGGUAUCUUUUUUGAGAGCUCCUUCCAUUAUCCUUUAAAAUUCUUCUUUUUAAACGGAACACUCAAUGUGCAUUGAGACGUCAUGUUAGUAUGCAUAACUAAAUUCUUCUUUAAUUAAUGUUGAGACUUCAUUAGUUAACAAAUUAGCUAUGUAAACGAAUUAAGUCCAAUUUAACAAGUCCUGACCUGGCCGCCAAGUGAUGUUGCUUAACUGCAUUUGAACGACAAGAACUUGAAAUUUCAAAUUGCUGAUGGAUUCUAUCAAUUCCAAUGAAGGAGCUCUGAGAUUUUGAAUGCAACUAUUGACUCAAUAGUUAGGUCAAAGGGUCUAACUUUUAUUUAGACAUCCAACGGCCAAAAGGAUAAUGCCAUAUAUUAUGGUUAAACGAACCUUAGUUGGAACAUGAAAUAUACUGCAAUUUUAUGCGAUGCUUUGUUAACAGAUUUAUAAUGCACCAAAUGGAUAAGAAGUUUUGCAUUCUUUCCUUUGAAAAUAAGAUUCCCACUUUGCAAACUUUACUGAUACCACAACGAUCUGUCUGGGGCCCCACAUAAUUAAGUCUUCAGUGGCGGCGCAUUAUUUUGAUGAAUUAAUUAUAUAGCAUGCGGGAAAGGAAAGGAAGAUCAAGAGAUCUUCUCCACUAUUUAAUUUAAUUAGCUGUUUUCACAAAUCACUUGUUACGUGGAAGAUAGAAUGCAACAAAUCAACUUUGAUAUAACCCCACCCACAAUUAUAAGCAAUUGAAUGGUUGAGGUCAGCCAUGGAAAGAUAACAUGCAGCAGAUGAUGGUGAAGUUGAUUGAAUCCCUUUUUAUGAUUAGAAUAUGCAGAGCCUUUACCACUUAAGAAAUCAUCAACACUAUCUAUUACCAAUAUGCUUUUAAUAAAAACAAAUCAUCUCAAUCAUCAACACUAUCCAACACUAUCAAUAAAACCUAAUAAUGCACAACAUGACCAAAGAGAGAUGGUUAUGAGCACUCAAAAGCUUAGGGACAGGAGAAACGAAAUUUUCUUAAUUAAGGAAUUCCAAACUUUACAGCCCUGAAAUUCAGAAAGAAUGAUGUGGCCGACAUUGAAAAGUUGUUACAGACUAUGAUAGUUCUUUUAUGUGAGUGGCUUCCCGCAAUCUCGCUUAGCAUGGGAAGCUACCUAAAGUAGGGUGCUUAUAAAAUAAAUGUGUAACUUUUAGACCAUAAUGAUGGACUUGAAAAGAUUUAGACCGUUGAUAUUCUAUUCCGGAAAUGCAAAAGAGACAUUUCUAAGAGCUUAAAGCCAGGACUUAAGAUUAUGCUACUGAUAAAAUCUCUCUUCUAACAAUCUGUUUUAGUCGGCUUCCUGCACUGCUGCGAUCCUCUCAACAGUUCUUGGCAAUGAAAUUGAACGACUAAAAUCGAAAUUAAUAUUUUGAUCAUAAACUUAAAUGAUUUCAUAAAUGAGUUUUAUUUGGUGGCAUAUAGAGGUUUCGGGGAGCGAGCCAAACCCGUGACUAUUUCUAGGGUGAUGAAUGGACCCCCUCAAGUACUCUUGAGUUUUACAACAUGUUAAGUGAAUGAAUAGAAGCAUCAACACAUUUCUCAAGGGGUUGUAACAUACAUGUUAACUAGACCAAUAUUUUAGUGGAGAAAGAAAGACUGGAUUCGCAUGAACAAUGCAAUAAAAUGUCUAAGGGCUUGCAUUAAUUAUCUUCUAUUCUCACUUUCUCCUCUCAAAUGAAGAGUGAAUCAUGCAUAGUUCUACCACAUUUGUCUUUCAUUAGAUCAAACAGUUCUAUUAUUUGAACUCGUGUUUUUCCUUUGUUUGUCUUUUGUAAGAGUCUAGCUUCCAAUCCAUAGCAUACAUUUUUGGACAUUAUUUAUUGGUGGACAACAUUGCAGCGACAGCUAAACUACAUGACAAGUGACUAAAAUCAUUGAAUGAGAUAGCAUUACUUAUGAUAUACAAUCAAAUUUUCCUGAAAGCUCACUUCAUCAAAGAUAGCAGCUCCAAACCUAUUCACUGUAGAUUUUGAAUUUCCAGUGGCAGCCGAGUUCAUCUUAUUUCAAGAUCGGGACUGGUGAUUUGCUCCACUUAAGAGCAUCUAUGGUAAAAAAAUUUGCGAGUUCAGCAGUCAAAAUGAUCCAACUUCUCCAGAUUGAAAAAAACCAAUAAUACCAGUCAAUGUUAAAUGCCAUAUAUCUAGAGAAAGUAUCUUGAGCUUUCAACCGAAGCAAUAUGGAGUGAUUUCAUGGACUCUCUCCUUGACUGAACUAACACUUACUUGUAAUUCAGUAUAUAUAUACACAAGAGACCUCUUUGCAUCGCCAUAGAGAUAAGCUCUCCUAGAUCGUGCUACGUACCGUCAUAUUUUUCCAUAAUAAUGUAUCUGAGUGGGAACUCCUGAUUCUUUCCAGCUCGUUUACACGGGUCACAAAUUGGUAAGUUGUAAUAUAACUAGCUACCUUAAUAAAGAAGUAUAAAGAAGACUAGUAGUGGCAUUGGCAAGUGGCAAAAUUCAGGCCUAGAUGGCUAUUAAACAAGUACUUUCCUAGCUAUUUAAAAGCUCAAGGGACUGACUCCAUCUUUGCAAGACCCUAGUUGGGAUCUUAAUUCUGUGAGGCUUCUUGCAUCUUCUAUCCCCAUACAACAAUCAAUGGAAGUUCUCAGAAAGAAGGUCUUCAAGUCUAUGAGGGUUAUCAUCUUUGUCUUGGUGAUUCUUACAGCCAACGGAUAUGCUGCUUCAAGGCCCCUGGAACUGGGAGUGAGGAUUAGAAAUAGUUCUCUGGAAGUUUCAUCUAUAAGAGCUCCCGUCCCACCGUCCGGUCCUUCUCCAUGCACUCACAUAGGCAACAAUGGUGGCAGAGUUAUUGGGCGAUGCCCUAGUCAUGGAUGAACUUACCUCUGCCACGGUGCAACUCUCAGCUAAAGUAUAUAUAUAUAUAUAAUUAUAGAGCUUGCCUAAAGAAUUAAGUCUAAGAUGUUAUGAUUCUCUUAUGAUUUAAAUAUGAGCAUGUGAAUGUAGAUAAUUAAAGAUAAAUCUGAAGUCCUUGAGAUGGACUGAUUUUUCUUCUUUUUUUUUCUCUUUGUUUUUACCGUUUCUGUAGUUUCAAAAUUCUACUUGAAAAAACAGUAUAAUUAAUUAGCAACAGAGAGAGGAUGACAUACUUCUUCUUUUUUUUCUUUUUUUUCCUGUUCCGAACCAGAUAGUUAUCUUCUUCCAAAUGCAUGUAGAUAUUACAAUCCAUACGGUGGUACUACCUUCUCUCUUCUUUCUAAUUUCUGUGGAUGAUCUUCCAAGUUCCAUAAAAAACUCUUAAAAGGUUCAAGAUUGUAUUUCUAGUAUUAUAGUGUGUGGUGUGUGUACUUUUGCAGAUCUCUCCCUCCCUUUGAUGUUCUUCAGGAUUUCACAAAUUGAUUCGGUACUUUUGCAGAAUCCUGACCUGAAAUUUAAUUGUUUUCUUGUUCAUUUCAAUCAUGCCAACGCUGGAAUUGUGAAUAUAUACGUUUAAAGACCAUAGAAUGAAACCCAGUACUAUUAGACAGCAACGGUGUCUCCAUGCAUAGUGAGCGGAGUAUGCAGCGACCCAAAACACUAUUUCAACUUCUAGCAUGUUUAUGAAUGUAAAUUGUCGGGAAUCUGUCAUGGGUCAUGGGCUCAUCGUUAGCCAGUUCGGGUAAAAUUUUCUAAUGGGCCUUAAGAUGAUAUUAAUUGUGUGUAGUGUUAUGGAUAGGAAAUGGCAAGUUCUAAACCUUAGUUCAUUAAUCAGGACGCUUUGGGCCCAAACAGCCCAUGGAGCUGGCCUAUCUCAUAUCUUGGCAAGUUAAUUCUUUCUUUUUUUUUCUUUUUUUUUUUAAAUAAAAGCAAAUACUAUUAAUUAAACAAGUUAACAUGUACAGACACCUCUAAUAUCUACUUCAUAAAAUUCUUUGAAAACUGUUUAGCCAAAAUAUCUGUUAACUUAUUCGUUUUUCUCAACAUUUAGUCAUCAUCAUACCUAUGAAAAUCUACUUAAAUCAUUUUAACAUCUUUUGCAAGGCACCGAAUAUUAAUAGAGGAGGCAUGACACUUUAACACUUGAGUCGCAAUUUUAAAAUCUUUUUCAAGUUUAUUACAAUCAAUAAUAGGUAAUUGGGCAUGCACCUUGUAAGGGAAGCAAUGAAUUAAGUUUGGUGGUGACACCGAAAGUUUUCCUUGUAGAGCAUAUCAGAGCAUAUCUUCAAGACUUCAAUUCUAUAUCAAAAUGAGCCGUGGAAACAACUGUCACACCACUUUUCUUGAGAGAUAUUGACACAAUCUUGUAUGUGAAAAGGCAAUUUUAUAUUUAGAUGGACUAAAAGAUUGUCAACUUUGCCAUUACAAAUUCAGAAGUCACUAAAAGCAUGAACUACUGUCGGAGAAUGACUCAUGUGUGGAUUGCAGCGCCCUCUAGGUAAUUCUUGAUAGAUUAUAUUCCCAUUGAUAUGUCAAAAACAACUCAACUAAAGGAAAUGGUUUAACAUUCUCACUAAAAGUUCAAAUAUUACCGAAAACAUGGUGUGGUGGUGGGAAAGUUCUCCUUCUGUUUAUGGGGUUUUCGAGGUAGUUUUGUUAAAUAUCCACAGAUAUUCUUUUACCCCUUCCCUGAAACAAGGACACAAUUUUGAUGAAAAGCUUUGUGAAUCGUAAUUAAUUUAAUCAAUGUAUUACGAUCCAUUGAAAAAAUAUAACAUUUUUGAAAAGUUUCACUUUUUACUUUUAAAUAUAUGCAUUUUGAAAAAAAAAAAGAAGUAAUCCUUCAAACAUUCAAUCUAAUAAUGAAAAACUUCAAAAUUCUAUGACUACCAUAUGCUAUUUUUAUCCAUUUCCUCUUACCCCUAACUACCUCUCUCUCACUUUCCAUUUUUUAUUUUAUUUUAAUUUUAUUUAUUUUUAUUUAAAUUUGACAUGACAAGUUAAAGAAUAUAAUUAUUAUGUUUAAAAUUUUUACACAUGGUCAUCAACAUAGUUUUUUUUUUUUUUUUUUAAUUUUUAUUUAUUUAUUUAUUCCCUCCCCAUAAUAUGUCCACCUUUUUGCAUUUUUUUUUUAAUAUAGUGGCUUAAUAGGCGGUAAUAGACCUUACCCUAAAUAAAAGAAAAUUGAUAUGUUUUUUUCAUCAUGAUACUUCUAACACAUUUUAAUGGUACUUUUUUCAUAAAAGAGUAAUGCAUUUUUUUAUGAAAAAAAUACCAUAUUUUCCAAGGGUUGUAUUGAUUGGUGUUAUCGUGCAAUAACACUCACUAAAUUCAUUGUUAUUUAAUCAUUAUAUAAGAUUUGGAACACGUGACGGAUGUUAACAAACCUUACCCUAAAUCAAAGAAGAGUGGUACAUCAUUCUUAUCACAGUAGUACUUUUAAUCAUCAUUUCUAUCAUAAUGGUACUUUUAACACAAUUUAGUGAUUUUUUUUAAUAAAAUAGUGAUAUUUUUAUAUAAAAGAGGGGUACACUUUUUUUCAAGAGUCGUGUCUAUUAGUGUUAUUGUGUAAUAACAUUCACUCAAGUGAGUCUAAAGCAAGAUGGUAAGGUAUAGGGCUUCUGAUUCAUAGGCCAUGAAAAUGUUUUUUAACUCUUCUUUCAUUAUCAUUUGAAAAAAGUGGUGGAAGAAGGAUUGAUUGGGAUUGAUCGUGAAGCCUCUUAUAGAAUAAAACUAUUAGAUUGAAGCAUACUCCAAAUGUGCAACAAACCCAAGUACAAAUUAUGGGAUCAAAUGCAAAGACACCUUUUGGAUAGACUAGGUUGUUUUGUAUUCACCUCAUUGCCUACGUGGAGAUCUUUCUUUCUCUAAUAGGAAUUACUAAGACAAAGCCAAUUACACAUUUCUACUUUCAACCAGGUAAAUAUAUUUGCAGCAAAGGAAAAGUAGGGAUAAUUGUAGACUAAGAAAAGAGGACACAAACACAUUCACUACUUAAAUCAAAAUCUAUGUGGGAACCAACAUCCACCUAGGCUGGAUAGAACCAUUGCUUAAUAAACGACAAUGGCACUCCAAAAGUUAGGUUAACUUUCCUAUCACUUCAAGUUGAAAAAUGACAACUAUUUUAUGGUAAUUCUUACCCUUUCCUUUUUCUAAACAUCAUAUCAAGGUGAUAGGCUUCGAACCUAUGAUCCUCUAUACCCAAAACAAUGCGCAAACCAAACUACGGUACACCUCAUUUCACCCAUCAAAACAUAUAGAUCCAUCAAAUCAAUGAACACUCAAGUCGAACUCACCUGUGCUUUUGGGCACAAGAAUGUGAGAACCAAUCAAGACAAGCUAUUGUGUAAAAGGUCAAAGGACGCCCUUUGACUAGAGCCCCUAAGACUGGGGAAGGGGAUUUAAUAGAUACUCUUUGAUGUCUUCAAAAGCAUUCUGACAUACUUGUUCCCAUUCGAAGGGUAGUCCUGUCUCUUCAUGCAAAUGUGGGGCGCAGCGUGCCUUGUGUGUUACCUCAUUCUAAAGUUAAUCGAUAAUAUAUAUGCUCCUCCAUUUUUUCACUAAGUCUAAGUAAAUGGAAUCUUUUAUAGCCAAAGCUAAUCAAUCUUCUCCACUUACUAUGCUUUACUACCCAAGAGGGAGAGAGAAUACAGUAUUAGAACAUGCACAAGUGUUUACUUGGACAACACAAUCAUGGUCAAAAUGGUUUAAGAUUUAGAAAUUUCAAUUUGAGGGGAAGAAGUUUCAUCAUUUUUGCAUGUUAUAAUGCUCAACAAUAAAAAUAUAUAUAAUAAUUUCAUUUUUAUCAAGUUUAUAUCAAAUGAAACAAAUUAAACACAUUUAAACAAAGGAAAUAAUAUUUAUUUUUCCAUAGUUUUAGAAUAUUUAUUAUAUAUUUUUUUCUUUUUAUAAUUCACCCAUAUGUAUCUUUAUUAUUUCAUUACAAAUUUCACCAUAUAUUUAUUGCAUCUUCCCAUGGCUACCACUUCAAUAUACAUCUAUAUAUAAAUACAAAAUAACGUUUUUGAAUGAAUCCCUUAGAAAUAGUGCAUUAUCCAAACCAAUGACAAAAAUAUUUGUAAUCACGAAUAUAUCGGUAAUUACAGAUAUAUCGAUAUUUUGAUUUUAUGAAUAUAUUGGAUAUAUCAAAAUAUAUCAACGGAUAUUUUGGAAAAAAAUAUUGAUAGACCUAAAAUUGAUCAAAAUUCAUAAAAAUGUAAGAAAAACUUCACAAAAAUCUAAUUAGAAACAUAAUAGAUAUUUUAAAGUUAUUUUGUUGAAGAAUUUGAUAUAUGUAUAAUAUGAUUUAUAUCAUAUUUGAUAAUAAUAUCGUAUGUAUUGAUAAAAAAAAAUAUGACUUUUAUAAAUAUACAUUUAUUAUUAAAUUACAUCAAAUAUUAUUUCAUAAUAAUAUUGUCAUAUUUGAUUAUAACAUAUUUAAUUUUAAAAUAUAUUUAAUAGUAAAAUUAUGAUUCAUUUACUUUAAUUGUAUUAAAUGAUAUAAAAUAAAUGGUGACAUAUGUAUAAUUUUUUAAUAUUUAAUUACUCUAUUAAUGAGAUUAUAAAUACUAAGAAGAAAAUUAUCAUGAUAGUUUUUAUAUUUUUGGUAAUCAAUUAAAUAAAAAUUUGUUAUUUAAUUAUAAAAUAAUUAUAAUUAAUUUGUUCUCUAAAAUGUUCUUUUAAUAUUUUGUUUAUAUGAUGACUUUAAAUAUAAAUAUAUUUGGUGUAAUGCAUUUAACAAGGGUGAGUCUUUUGUUUGGGUUUGAGUCUGCUUAACAACAAAAGUUAAAAGACAAUUUUGAGUUUUCGUAGCAGUCCUGUAGCGUGUGUUAACCGGCGUUGAACACCGUGUUGGCUGGACCAUUAUUCUUGUGGAAUAUCCAACUAGAACAUAUGUAUCAUGAAAGUAUGUGUGAUGUCCCACAUCGAAUAGGGGAGAAUGUUCCUGGUGCUAUAUAUGUAGAGGUUUUUCUUAACCAAGUAGACGCGUUUUAAAACCAUGAGGGCCCCUUGGGCCCAAAGCGGACAAUAUCUACAUGGUUGGGUGCGGGUCGUUACAAAUGGUAUCAAAGCCGAUCCCCGACCCCGGUGUGGGGGUUUGUUGGUCUCGUAAGGGGUGUUUGUCUGUUUGGCCCCACAAUCCCAUGGGACACAACAAGGACGUUGUGUCUGCAUGAGGGGGUGUUUGUGAUGUCCCACAUCGGAUAGGGGAGAAUGUUCCUGACGCUAUAUAUGUAGAGACUCUUCUUAACCAAGUAGACGCGUUUUAAAACCGUGAGGGCCCCUUGGGCCCAAAGCGGACAAUAUCUACAUGGUUAGGUGCGGGUCGUUACAAUAUGUAAGUGAUCAUGCUGAUGUUACUGUUGAUGACCAAUUCCGUUUGUUUACUAGGAAGUACUAUUUAUUAAUUAGUAAUGCAUUUGGGGUGCUUUGAAGCUUAAUUUUAUAUUUGUGAGACAUAUAUAUUAAUUAGUAAGUACUAGUAAGUACUAUUUAUUAAUUUUAUAUUUUAAAUAUAAAUUUUAAAAUAUAAUUUAUCUUGUGGAAUAGCUUAAUUAGUGAGAGAGAGUAAAAGUGUAACUUUAAGUUCAUGACUUUUAUUUCAUAUUAAUUAUUUAAUUAUUCUAAGAAUAUUAAAUUUUAGAUAAUUAAUAAUAAUAUUUAUCAAAUUGAAAAAGCUAUUCAAAUAUUAUUAAGUAAUGAUGAAGAUAACUUUCUAACUUCAGAAGCCAAAGUUAACGUUUAGAUAACAAGAUUCAAAUUAUUUACUAAUUUAUGAAGUUUCUUUAAAUAUAAAAUAACUUUUAUAUAAAUUAAAGUUUGAAAUUAUUUAAUAAUUUAUAAAGAAAGGUUGUUCUUAUUUUAAUUUAGACCGCUACUUAAACAGCAUUAUUAAAACAAUCAAUAACACAAAAUCUUUUAUAUAAUUUUUAAAAAUAGUUUUUUAUAAGGGAUAAGUUCUCUUUCAAUGGGAGAUUUUGACAGAGAUUUUUCUAUGAGGGAUAAAGGUGUUUUAGAAAGUAAGAAAUAUAUUUUAAAAAUAACAAAAUUUCUUCUUCAUUUUUCAAAAAUAAAAAAUAAAAUGUAAAGAUAAAUUUUAUAUUUUCAAGAAAUAUAUUUUAAAAAUAACACAAGUUUAUUUUCUUUGUUAAAAAAAAAUACAACUUUUAUAUUUUCAAGGCCAUUAAUUUUCAAAAUAAUUUUUAGUAAUUAUUCAUUUCUGAAACUAUUAUAUACUAUUUGAAAAGAUGUCACAAGGUCACAUCAACUGAACUUAAAAUUAUAUUUUAUUAAAUAGGAAGAUAACAAUGCAUAGGAUCCAAAAUAUUUAAGUUAAGAAAAUAUAUUUGAUACUAAACAUGUGUCUAUUUUCACUUUUUCUUUCUAAGAGUGUCAAAGCAUACCCUUUUUCCAAUAAGUUCAAAUAUAAAAUUUAAAAGUUACAUAACUUUUGGUUGUUAGAUAGAUAUGCGAAAUGUAUUCUUUUUUUUUUUCUUUUUUUAUAUUUAUAAUUUAGUACAAGUAAAAUUAAAAUUUAAGAGGUUGUUUGGUUUUUCAAAAUUUAUUACUUUAAGACAAUAUGCUUUCAGUUGAAAUGAUUAUUAAAAUUAAUAAAAUGGGUAGUUCAUGUUGAUGAGAAAAUAAAGUUUACAACUUAAAUAACCCUUUUUGUAUCUAACUACUUCUAACAAUGUGUAACUAAUUUCAUAACCACAUAACAAUAACCUCUUAUCUCUUCACAACGUACCCCUCUCAAACUAAGAGUGGAUAAUUGUUCAACUCUUAGUUUGUUCUUUAACAACCAAAAUCGAGUAUUAGAUAAAGUUUUGGUUAGAAUGUCCGCAAUCUAAUCUUGUGAUGAGAUAUGUCUAACAUCCAACUCUUUCUUCAUAACUUUCUCACGCACAAAAUAUAGGUCCAACUUAACGUGUUUUGUCUGAGCAUGUAGAAUAGGAUUUGCUAACAUGAGUACAGUACUCAAAUUAUCACAUCAUAGUACUGGAACACGACAUUGAGAAAUUUGUAAUUCUAUUAGCAAGGACUCUAUUCAAGUAACUUUUGCUGCCAAAGUAGCUAGACUCCUAUAUUCAGCUACGGUGCUACUCCUUGAGACUGUGUUUUGCUUAUUUGAAUUCCAAUAUAUCAUAUUUGAACCAAGAUAUACAUAGAAGCCAAUAGUUGAUCUCCUUUCAUCCAGGUUUGAAGCCCAGUCUGCAUCACAAAACCCUGUAAUAUCUAAGUUCAUUGAUCUCUUAAGAUGUAAACCAUGAUCAAGUGUUCCCCUUAAGUACUUAAGAAUCCUUUUUAUUACCUUCCAGUGAGACUCCAAAGGAUUUUGCAUAAACUGGCAAAUCCUAUUAACUGAGUAAGCAAGUUCUGGUUGUGUAAUUGUCACAUAUUGUAGGGCUCUAACUAUGCUUCGAUAGAGUUGUGGAUUGCCUAUUGGAUCACUUCCAAUGCAGGACAAUUUUUCUCCUCUGGACAUAGGUGUGGGCAGCUCUUUAGCAUACUGCAUCUUUGUCUUGCACAAAAGAUCUGUUACAUACUUAGUUUGUGAUAAAUGUAAACCAUCUGUAGUAUGUUUAACUUGAAUUCCUAAGAAGUAGUCAACUUCACCAAGGUCUUUUAAUGCAAAUCUGGUAUUCAGUUGUUGUACCAGGGCUUGAAUCUCAAAUUUAAAACUUCCAGUCACAAGUAUGUCAUCAACAUAUGAUUCGUGCCCAAUUGGUGUCUCAGCUGAUUUGUGUCCAACUGGUGCUCCUUGAUUGAGAGAGUAAUCAACAAAAUUUAUAACCUAUAACACCAUAUACUAGGGUAGCAAAGAAAAAGCUACUAUAGUAUAGUGGCUCUAGGAUCGUCCACUGGGAAAGAUUAACAAGCUCUCAAUGAUACCAAUUCCAAGUGAAUUGGUUUUGUUUCAUUUCAUGGUUAGCUUAAGAAUUAAAACACAAACUUUGAUUGGUAAAGGUUUAGACUUAAACUAACUAACAUAACAGAAGUUUGGAAUAAUUUAGGAAGAAAAGCAUUCCCUGGAGAGUUAGGUUCACUGGGAUGGUUCCUCAUGCAAAAGACAUAGCUCCGAUCAGAUGGUUCAUUUCCUCAUGUUAGAGAUUCAACAUAUAGUCAAUUCUCUAACCGGUGUUGUACAGAGACUCCUUCAAUUAGAUUUCACUUUAAUUCUCUCACUGAUGCAACUUGCAAUGGUUUAAGCCUCUCACUAAGCCUUAACCAUUCAAGGUGAUCUUUAACCUUGGAUUACCCGUCAAAAGCUCACAAGAGAUAACUAAUGGAUGUCUCCUUGGAGUCCAAAAGCUUAUCAAGUGUUGGCUAUUCUAGAAAAUCCUACCUUGAAGUCACCUCCCAGAGGCUCGCAAGGGGUAAACUAGUGCACUUCCAUGGUUGGAAAUCACUUGCCUUACCAAGUGUUGGCCCAGGUGACUCUAAGGUGUUUUAAGUUAACUAAAAACAUAGAAAUCAUUAAAGGAUUUCACUUCCUCUUCAUUACUAGCUAAAACCACAGAGCUUUGCAUUCUUGCACUUGGAACCUUCCCCGGCAACCUUAGCUCCAAGGAACUAGAGGUUUAGUUACUCAUUCUUUGGGGAAAACUCCUCAGAGAGUUCAUAACUUAGUAAGAAAAUGAAAAUACAAAGUGAGAAGGUAAGGCAGUAGAAAGAAAAUAAACUUUACUUGCUUACCCAAACUUUUAUAGAAGGAACUCCUCCCUGAGAACAGGCUCCCGAGAGGUAUAUAUAUGUACAUAAUAUAAAACUAAUUAUUACAUAGAUAUUUAGUCUUUUUACUAACUUAAAAGCUAAGGAAUCAUGUAAUUGGUGGUUUACAAGGAGUAUUUUGGGAUUUAGACAACAAAAAUCUAAUGGAAAAUAUCUCCCAAUGUCGGUAGCAAAUAUCGGGAGGCUUCAGGAACCAUUUUGCAGGAGAAAAAUGGUGUCUGCGAGAUUUCGCAGACACUUAAGAGGGCUGCGAAAUAAUUUCGCAACACCAAGCUAUCUUCACAGGGCUGCGAAGAUGGCUUCCACCUUGAGGUUCCCAGCUUCCUUCUCGUGGAAUAAAUUGGGCAUCGUCAGAAGGAGAAACAUUACAUUGUUCAAAAAGGCUGCGAAAUCACUUCGCAACAAAAGGGUGAUUUCGUAACACUUUGCAAAAUGCUUCUUUCAGCUCGGAGUGAUUGGCUUGUAAUGGCUGCAACUUCUUCGUUUCAACUCUGAAUUACACACCGUUUGAAGCAUUGGAUUGUUGAAUUCCUGAUCUUUGAAAUGGUAUAUAGCAUGCAUCAUUUGGACUUCAUAAAGUGCUCCAAAAGUGGCUGCUACGACUGUCAUCAAGAAUAUGCUUUAUGGCAGAUUCUCUUUGCUUUUUCUCCUUGCAAUCCGGAUUUACUCUUGGCAAAUGACUUCUAAGCUUUGCCCAAGAUUCCUCAUAGCUCUCCUCAGUCUUGACUUGCUUUGGUGAUCAAAAUACUAACAAAAACACCAAAACUUACACAAAGUGAUCAAAAUUGCUUUCAAGGGUCCUUAACAUGCCAAUUGAGUUAAAAGGCCUAAACUACUACUCAAAAGUGUUUAAAAUAAUUUAUUAUAGGCUAUCAAAUAGCACUUUUUGAGUAGUAAUCACUCCCCCCAACUGACAUAUUGCUAGUCCCUUAGCAAUAUAGGAGAGAAAAAUUGAAAAUAAAAAGCAAACUAAUCUAAAAUUUACAACAUCAUGCUGAUCAAAAUCAAUUCUCAAGUGGCAUGAUGAUCUAAUUCUCACAUGAAGCAUUAAAGAAAUACAAACCCAAAUCUCAACAAGAGUCAUAACAAACUAUGCUAAACACUGUCAAUCAAGGGAGUGCAUUAUGCAAACUGAAGUUUUAAAAUCAUUUCCACUUUCAAAGAACCAAACUUUUAUCUUCCACAAAAAUCUAUGUGUAUUGGUUCCUUAGCUUCCGAGAAUAAUAUGCUAAACUAAUCUCUCCCCCCAACCUAUCUCUUUUCAACACUUAGCAGACUGACCAAAAUCAAUAAGAAAAGAACACACCUUUUUUUUUUUAGUAAGGUAGCUUUAUGGGGUACUCUUUCUAACUUGUCCAUGUAAUGGGGUCCAUUGAUGACUCCCAACCAAUUAAGGUUUAGGGCACCAAGCUUUAAGGAUCUUUCAACCACUAACUCCUCAGAUUUUUCCCCGGACUUUUAAGAAUGAAUUUCUAAUACCCAAGCAUCUACCAUAUGCUAACUCUACCUAUUCACCCUUGUAACGAGCAUUGAGGUCGAUGACUCCCAACCAAUUAAGGCUUAGGGCACCAGGCUUUAAAGGUUUUCACCAUAUACCCCUCAGACCUUGCUCGGGUUUCAAGGCAAGCAAACAACUUUCUUUAUUUCAAAGGUUCAUUGGCCUUUUGCAGGGUGUUUCAAUUUUAUCAAAUGAAGUCAAAUGUACCAAGUCCCAAAAUUAUCCUAAGUCAAGAGGGAAAUAGCUUUUCAUCUUAUAAUCGGAAUCUAAUGUGCACAGUGUGUGAAUAGCUUAAAGUGGAAGAACUAAAUUCAAUUUCACUAGAAGCUUCAACAAUUGAACCACUUUAGUGAGCAUAAUCCAUACUCUAAGUUAAGUGAAAAACAACAGUUCAAUUUCUCUUGGUUUAAUUUGAAAAUUUUUCCUCAAAAUUCAUGGAGAAUAGAGUAAUAAGAGUAAAAAGUAAAAACUACAACUAAUUAACCAAUAUAAUUGUAUUAUCAAAAAGAUUUAGCAUACUUCCUUCCUCAUUCCCCCCAACCGAACUGAGCAUUGUCCUCAAUGUGAUAUGAGUGACUGUAAUUAAAGGGAGGAAGUGGUACCUCCUUGCUGAUAUCAAAUUCGAAUAUUGAUUGGGGAAAACCACAUGUUUCAAAAAGAAUAGAAUAUGUGAGAAAAGGAAAUAAGAAUAACUUAAUGCUAACUGUUAACAAGAAAUAUUCCACUUGUAUUACUUUCAAUUCAUUCGAGUACAAUGUAAAAGACAAGUAACACAAGGAAUCCCAAAUAUAGUACCAAAAUAGUGGGAUUUCUUUUCAACUAAAAAAAAAAACAAAUACAUAAAAAUAUUAGAUAUAUAUAAUAGUCUGAUGAGUGGGGUGGUGGUGCUAGGCAGAUGGGUCUGUCUUUUCAAUAGGUGCAUCAGCUGGGGCUUGGGGCUCUGGAGGAUGAGACUCUGAAGGAUGAGAGUGUGGCUCUGCUGGUGUAUCAGUGGAGGGCUCUACAGCUUGUGGUAGAUCGAAAUGGACUUGGAGCUGCCUUAAGAUGGCAGCUUGUUGAGCCUUAGUGGCCAACAUCUGCUCUUAGCAUGCUCUGAUGGCUGCCAUCUCCUGAGCAAAACUGCUCUGAGAAGCUGUAAGAGUCUCCAAUGCACGACACAACUCUCUAUAUUCAGAUAUAGGAAUGGCCAUCCUCGGCUCAGCUGAUGUGGAUGGCUGAGAUGAAGCUGAUGUAGCUGGUGGAGCUCUAGGAAUGGCAGGAGUAGCAACUGUUAUACCCUCAAGUAUAUGUCUUGGGGAUGCUCUCCUUGCAGCUGGCUGAGGCUGCUCAGGCUGAUCAACUUUGUAGGCCGUCAUAUUGUUCCAUUUAUCAAGAGUGAAUGGCUCACGGCAAAUUCGUUUUUUCUCCAACUGAGGCUCAGAAGGGUAUCCCAGAUGCUCCAAAAUUUGGCAUAACAGCCUUGGAAAGAGGAGUGGAAUGCAAUCAGCUCUCUGAAGCUUCUUUUUGUGAACCUUCUCUUCAAAAUAGAGAAGGGCUGCCAUGAUCAGAUGAUGAGGCCCAAAGAAAAAUCCUUCUGACAUCUUGUAAAGAGCUUCCAGGAGGACUCCCCUUCUUUGGGUCCAAUGCUGCAAUGGAUAGAUAUUAUGACGCAAAAAGGCAUCAAUCAAAAACAUAACUGGAGGAAGCUCCCCCCUCAGCAGAUGUGAUCGAUUUACAGCUCCUCUGGAAAGGGUGCGCACCAUCUUUAGCUCAAUAGGAUUUGCCCAAGCUCUAAAAUUAUCGAAUUGGGUUGGCUCAAAGGGAAUUUGCAGGGCUUCAGCAAUAUGUCGUGCUCCCAAUAUGCCAUGUCUCCCAUCGAUAGUGAAAUGAAUCAAGGUUGGAUUCCUAACCUCUUUGGUUGUCAUGGAUUGAUAGAAAUCUGUGGCUAUCCGGGGAUAGAAAAAGUCUCUUGGAGUCAGCAAGUGCUCCAUGUGAUACCUCCUCAGCAGCUGGAAUGAUUGGGCAAGCUCCGGCCUCACUCUGAAUGCCGGUAAGUCGAAGCAUAGCUCGGAAUGGAAUGGCCGUAUUCUACAAUCCAAGUUUCCCUCAAUUGGGGGCUAAGGUAGCAUUGGCCUCCGGAUUACUUCUUCCAGAGUUGUUUCGGAUGGAAUUUGGGGUUCAGGAAGUGGCGCUAGAGGCUCUUGAGAUUUUUCUUGCAGCGCCGGAUAUGGUAUCGGCGACGGAACUGGCAUGGGAAUCGGCGAGGGAACUGGAGACGGCACUGGAGUUGGAACCGGUGAUGGAAUUGGUGAAGGCUCUGGAGAUUGCUCAGUCAAAUCGAUGAGUUCUGAGCUCUCCACCCUGGGCUUCUUUUGCAGCGGCCAACCUCCCGACCUGGUAAGGUAUCGUUUUGCCGGAGGCUUUGGCGGCACUGGCUUCACCGGGGGAGGAAUUGCUUUCGACUGCGAAGGCUCUGGAGCAGAAUCUGGAACUGGCUCCUUUCGCAGACUCUUCUUGCGAUUCGAAGGAGAUGAAGAUUUAGCCCUUCGUGUUCGCGUCAUUUCGGGAUACCGAACUUUGGCCGACGUUGCUAAUCGGAGAAGAUGAUCGGAGGCUUGGACGGCGUGGCUCACUGAAGAAGACGAACAGCUUGCGAGAAUGGCGCUCUGAUUUUUGAAACCCUUUUCGCAGCUCAAAUGACCGGUAUAAAUAGGAAAAACGGAAGCCUAAGGGUCAGUUUAAGUUUCGCAACAAAACUCCAAUUUCGCAGCAAAAUGCCAUUUUCGCAGCAACUUCGCAGUGCGUUUCGCAUAUGUGAAAUGAGAGUUCCUGUGCUGCGAAGUGGCACUCGUGUGCCAAAACCACUUUCGCAAUUGCGAAAUACCCUGCGGAAUGAGACUUUUGGUGCGAAAUCACCCUUUUCCACUUCGCAAUGCGUUUCGCAGCUGCCAAAUGGAUGCUACUGUACUGCGAAGUGGCACUCGUGUGCCAAAUUUGCUUUCGCAGCUGCGAAAUACCCUCGUAGAGACUUCUACAGUGUUGCGGAAUGGUUUGGCAACAAAAUGCUCAUUUCGCAGAAGCUUUCUUUAGCCUGCGAAAUUUCGCAGAGCUCUGUUUUUCCCCUAUUUUUGCUCUGUUUUGGCUCCGAUUUCGAUCCGAUUUUUUUUUUUCAAUCUCCUUGAAAUUUCUUCCACCUGGGAUCAUUUAAAACGAUUAAAACACACCUAAAAACAUGAUUUAAGAUCAAAAAACUAAGAUAAAAAAUAUGGAAACACUUUGAAAAUUUACAAAAUUUACAAAAAUUUUGGACUGUGGUAAACCACGUCCAGCAAACCCUUUUUUUUUGUUUAGGCUUUUUGAGGCUCAAGGAGGUUGAUCUCCUCAUUUUCUGGUUUGAAUGGCUCCAUGAAUGGCUUGAGACGAUAUCCAUUGACUUUGAAGCUAUCCUUGCCAUUGGAAUUCAAUAAUUCCACCACUCCAUUGGAAUAUACUCGGUGAAUAAUGAACGGGCCUAUCCACCUUGACUUGAGCUUCCCAGGAAAGAUAUGGAGUCUUGUGUCAUACAGUAAAACUCUUUGCCAUUCCUAAAAUUCCUUGUUGGAGAUGAGUUGAUCAUGCCACUUCUUCAUCCUCUGUUUUGCAACUUUGGAAUUGAUGUAAGCAUUGUUUCUUAAUUCCUCCAUCUCAUUAAGGUCUAGAAAUCUCUUUUCUCCGGCCUUGAUCAAGUCCAUAUUUAGCUUCUUUAUUACCCACCAAGCUUUGUAUUCAACUUCCACAGGGAGAUGGCAUGCUUUGCCAUAGACAAGACGAUAGGGAGACAUCCCAAGAAUAGUCUUAUAAGCUGUUCUAUAUGCCCACAAUGAAUCAUGAAGCCUAAUAAACCAAUCCUUACGUUGGAAUUCACCACUUUCAUCAAGAUGUUCUUUAUUUCCCUGUUAGCUAGCUCAACUUGCCCGGAAGUUUGAGGAUGAUAAGGUGUAGCCACCUUAUGCUUCACUCCAUACUUGGAUAACAGAGCUUCAAAAGGUUUGUUGCAAAAAUGAGCACCUCCAUAACUGAUUAUGGCUUUGGGCACCCCAAAUCUUGAGAAUAUAUUCUCUUUAAGAAACUUGAGAACCACCUUGUGAUCAUUUUGUUUACAGGGGAUUGCCUCAACCCAUUUAGAAACAUAAUCCACCCCCACCAAGAUGUAAGAAUUACCAAAAGACAUUGGGAAAGGUCUCAUGAAGUCAAUGCCCCAAACAUCAAAUAACUCAACUAUUAGAAUGAGGUUCAUAGGCAUUUGAUUUCUUUUUGUUAGCUUUCCAAGCCUUUGGCAUCUGUCACAACUCCUACACAUGAUGUGGGCAUCCUUAAAAAGAGAUGGUCAAGUAAACCCUGAUUGCAAUACCUUCAUGGCUGUUUUCUGAGAGGCAAAGUGGCCUCCACAUGCAUGCUCAUGACAAUGAGAUAGAAUCCCUUGCUGCUCAUCUUCAGGGACACACUUCCUAAUAAUCUGAUCUGCACAAUACUUAAAGAGAAAGGGCUCUUCCCAAUAAUAAGAAUGAAUUUUGGCAAAGAAGUGCUUCCUGUCCUGUGCAUUCCACUCACUUGGAAUUUCUCCAGUUACUAAAUAAUUGGCAAUAUGAGCAUACCAAGGAGUUUUCACUAGGAACAUGAGUGAUUCUUCAGGAAAAUCAUCAUUGAUAGGCAAGGGAUGGGAAUUAUGUGCUAUAACUAAUCUUGACAAGUGGUCAGCUACCACAUUCUCCACUCCUUUCUUAUCUUUGAUUUGGAGAUCGAAUUCUUGUAACAAAAGAAUCCAUCUAAUCAACCUUGCUUUUGCAUCUUGCUUUGUCAAUAAAUACUUCAAGGCUGAAUGGUCAGUAAAGACAAUAAUGAAAGACCCCACUAAAUAAGCUCGAAAUUUGUCCAAAGCAAAUACCACAGCUAACAAUUCUUUCUCUGUAGUUGUGUAGUUCCUUUGAGCUUCAUUUAGUGUUUUACUUGCAUAGUAAAUCACAUAGGGCUUCCCAUCUUCUCUUUGGCCAAGCACAACUCCUAUAGCAAAAUCAUUGGCAUCACAUAUCAGUUCAAAAGGUAAUUGCCAGUUAGGGGCUCUCACUAUUGGAGUUGUUGUUAAAAAUUUCUUCAGUUGAUCAAAGCUAUGCUGACACCUUUCAUCCCAUAUAAACUUAGCAUCCUUAGCUAAUAACUCACAAAGAGGUUUUGAAAGACUUGAAAAACCUUUUAUAAACCGCCUAUAGAAACCUGCAUGGCCAAGGAACUGCCUUACUCCUUUUACAGUUGUUGGAGAUGGUAAUUUGACAAUAAGCUCCACCUUUGCUUUAUCAACUUCAAUGCCUUUUUCAGAGAUGAUAUGGCCAAGGACAAUUCCUUAACGUACCAUAAAAUGGCAUUUCUCCCAGUUGAGCACCAGAUCUUUUUCAAUGCAUCCAUGAAGAACUGCUUCCAAAUUAACCAAGCAUUCCUCAAAUGUACCUCCAUAUACGGUGAUGUCAUCCAUGAAAACCUCCAUAAUUCGCUCCACCAUAUCACUGAAAAUACUCAACAUACAUCUUUGAAAUGUAGCAGGUGCAUUGCAUAAACCAAAAGGCAUUCUCCUGUAAGCAUAUGUUCCAAAUGGACAUGUAAAAGUGGUCUUUUCCUGAUCUGCCAAAUCAAUUUCAAUCUGAAAAUACCCUGAAUACCCAUCCAAGAAACAAUAAAAUGGAUGUCCAGAGACUCUCUCCAGCACUUGGUCAAUAAAUGGCAAUGGAAAAUGAUCUUUCCUGGUUACAGCAUUCAACUUUCUAUAAUCAAUACACACCCUCCAACCUGAAGUAAGGCGUGUAGUAAUUUCUUCCCCUUUUUCAUUUUGAACCACUGUGAUCCCUGACUUCUUUGGUACCACUUGAGUAGGACUCACCCAAGGGCUAUCAGAUAUAGGGUAAAUGAUUCCUGCUUGAAGUAGCUUCAGCACUUCAGCUCACACCACCUCUUGUAGAUGAGGAUUCAACCUUCUUUGAAAUUGACGAAUUGGCUUUGCUUCCUCCUCCAUAUAUAUAUGAUGAGUACAAACUAAAGGACUAAUGCCUUUCAAGUCAGAUAUUUGCCAUCCUAUUGUCUUCUUACACCUCUUGAGAACUUCCAUUAAACAAUUCUCUUGAUGACUGGUCAGAGAUGAAGAUAUCACAAUAGGACAUUGAUUAUUUUCUUCAAGAUAUGUAUAUUUCAGCUCCUCAGGUAAAGGCUUCAGAUUGAGUUUUGGAAUUUCUUUUUCAACAGCUGCCUCCUCUUCUUUAUUGAACAAAGGUAGAAUUUCUUCUAUCUUUCUCCAACUUUGUAGAGUAGCAAGCCCAAUAGGAGAUUCAGACAAACCUUCCUCAAAAUUCACAAGACUUUUAUUCAACUUGUCUUGCAUAUUUUGAUUACAGUGUUCCUCCACCAAAGUAUCAAUAAUGCACAGCUCUUCUGGACCUUCUUCUUCCUCCGGAGUGAUUUGCUUUUUAGACAUAUAGAAAAUAUUGAGAUCCAGUGUCAUGUUACCAAAAGUGAGUUGCAUAAGCCCAUUCCUGCAGUUGAUGAUUGCAUUUGAAGUAGCAAGAAAUGACCUUCCAAGGAUGAUAGGAACUAAAUUAGCUUCCUUUACGGUAGGAUCUGUAUCAAGAACAAUAAAAUCUACUGGAUAGUAGAAAUUAUCCACUUGAACCAAUACAUCCUCAAUUACCCCUCUUGGAAUUUUCACUGAUCUAUCUGCCAGAGAUAGAGUGAUUGUUGUUGGCUUCAACUCUCCAAGUCCCAAUUGCUAAUAGACGGAAUAUGGAAGCAAAUUCACACUUGCUCCCAAAUCUAACAAGGCUUUCUCCACUACCUUUCCUCCAAUCAUGACUGAAAUGGUAGGACUUCCAGGGCCUUUGUACUUCAAAGGGGACUUACAUUGUAAGAUUGCAUUUACUUGCUCAGUCAAGAAGGCAUUCUUGUUUACAGUCAACCCUCUCUUGAUAGUACACAAGUCCUUUAAGAAUUUUGCAUAUGUUGGAACUUGUUUAAUCGUAUCCAAGAGUGGAAUAUUGACUUUUACUUAUCUCAAUACUUCAAGGAUUUCAGCUGCAUUUCUCACCCCCUUUUUCCCAUGUAAUGCUUGAGGAAAAGGUGGAGAGGUUGAUUUCUUCAGCAUUUCUUCCUUCAUAAGUUCCUUCUUUGGAAUUGCAUUCAUUGUUGAAUUAGAGUCCUUCUUUUCUUCACUGAUCUCACUGUCUUUAUCUUCCAUCUCCUUCCCUUUCUUUAUCUCUUCUUCUUUCUCAACAUGUGGCUUGGGUGUUGGCUGCUCAAUUUUUUUACCACUCCUUAGAGUGAUCAAGGCUUUGACAUCUUUCAUCUGUGAUGAUUCUCCCUCUUGGCUUUCCACUUCAUGGACUCCUUUGGGAUUUUGGUGAGGUUGAGAAGGAAAUCUUCCCUUUUCUUGCAGUGUAUUCAAAUUUGUAAGCCUUGAAAUUGAAUAUUGGAUGUUAUCAAACUUUUGGUUCAUAUCAUUUUGCAUUCCAUCCAUCCUUUUAUUCAACAUACUCUCCAUUCUAUUCAUUCUUUGAUCGACUCGAGCAUUGGUGGCUUCUUGCUUUCCAACAAAAUCUCCCACUACCUUAGUGAGAUUGGCUACUGCUUGUUCAAUACUUGAAGAUUGUUGAGAUGGUGGAUCCGGCUGUUGGUAUUGAGUUGCUCUGGCCUUCCAUGAGAAAUUUGGAUGAUUCCUCCAACUUGAGUUGUAGGUAUUUCCAUAAGGCGCAUUGUUAUUGGGCCUGAAUUGUCCAACAACAUUUGCUUGAUCUCUAUACAUUUCCCUUUCAGCUAAAAUUGCAGGGCAUUCCUCCACCAAAUGUUCAUAUGAUUGACAAUUGGGACACAACUUCACUUGCACUGGUGCUUCAGCAACAGCUUGCACUUCAUGUAUUCUUUUCAGCUCCAGCUCCUCCAAUCUUCUUGUCAUAGCUACCAACUUUGCUUUCAUAUCAUCAUCUUCUUUUAAGGUAUACAUCCCAGCCUUUGCAUUGUAAGCAUUCAACUGAGACUUCAUCUUUCCCACUUCUCCUUUAGUUGGUUCAUCCCAUCCCCUUGAAACAUCAGCUACAUAGUUCAAGAAAUCCAUAGCUUCCUCUGGAUUUUUGCUCAUGAAAUCUCCUCCACACAUUGUCUCGAGGAGUUGCUUCAUUGAGGAGGACAUACCAUCAUAAAAAUAGCUCACCAAUAGCCAUGUAUCAAAGCCAUGGUGAGGGUAAGCAUUUAUAGCUUCCAUGUAUCUUUCCCAACACUCAUAGAAUUUCUCAUUCUCUUUAGCUGAGAAGUUUGAAAUUUGCCUUUUCAAGCCAUUUGUUCUAUGAGUAGGAAAAAAUUUCUUGAGGAAUUCAGCUUAUAAGUCAGUCCAAGAGCGGAUACUCCUUGGCCUUAAAGAAUUAAGCCAAAUUUUGGCUUUAUCCUUUAAAGUAAAAGGAAAUAACUUAAGCCUCAUCAAAUCAAUUGAAGCUCCUCCCUCUUGAAAUGUAUUACAAACAUCUUCAAAUUCCUUGAUGUGUGCAUACGGAUUCUCACUUUCCAUCCCAUGGAAAGUUGGUAGAAGUGGAACAAGAUACGGUCUGAUCACUAGCUGCUCUGUAGGGGGCACUAUACAUGAUGGUGCACUCAUACGAGGUGGAUGCAUGCGAUCCCUCAUUGAUCUGAAUUCAUUGAGAUUAUCUUGACGACCUUGGUGACUAUGCUGAUCUUCAGGUGUAGCUUCCAUGAUAUUCAAGAUCAGUUCGAAUUCUUUUCUCUGAGGUGUAUCACACUUAACAAGCCUUCCUCCACUGUCUCGUAUCCACUUUGGCAUACACAACUAGUAUCUAUCUGCAACUAAAAAUGAAAACAAAAGACAACAAAAGAAACAGGGCUACAACAACAAAAUUAAACUAGGCUAAAUUUUAAAAGAUAAACUUAGAUUAUGAAUAAAUAAAGAAAGAAUGAAAAUUAGUAAAGUGAAAGAAACUUUACCAACUUGUGAUGAAAAUCACAAGUGCUCAAAAAAAUGGUAUCACUAUAAACUUGACUCAUUCCCCGGCAACGGCACCAUUUGAUUCGUGCCCAAUUGGUGUCUCAGCUGAUUUGUGUCCAGUUGAUGCUCCUUGAUUGAGAGAGUAAUCAACAAAAUUUAUAACCUAUAACACCAUAUACUAGGGUAGCAAAGAAAAAGCUACUAUAGUAUAGUGACUCUAGGAUCGUCCACUGGGAAAGAUUAACAAGCUCUCAAUGAUACCAAUUCCAAGUGAAUUGGUUUUGUUUCAUUUCAUGGUUAGCUUAAGAAUUAAAACACAAACUUUGAUUGGUAAAGGUUUAGACUUAAACUAACUAACAUAACAGAAGUUUGGAAUAAUUUAGGAAGAAAAACAUUCCCUGGAGUGUUAGGUUCACUGGGGUGGUUCCUCAUGCAAAAGACAUAGCUCCGGUCAGAUGGUUCAUUUCCUCGUGUUAGAGAUUCAACAUAUAGUCAAUUCUCUAACCGGUGUUGUACAAAGACUCCUUCAAUUAGAUUUCACUUUAAUUCUCUCACUGAUGCAACUUGCAAUGGUUUAAGCCUCUCACUAAGCCUUAACCAUUCAAGGUGAUCUUUAACCUUGGAUUACCCGUCAAAAGCUCGCAAGAGAUAACUAAUGGAUGUCUCCUUGGAGUCCAAAAGCUUAUCAAGUGUUGGCUAUUCUAGAAAAUCCUACCUUGAAGUCACCUCCCAGAGGCUCGCAAGGGGUAAACUAGUGCACUUCCAUGGUUGGAAACCACUUGCCUUACCAAGUGUUGGCCCAGGUGACUCUAAGGUGUUUUAAGUUAACUAAAAACAUAGAAAUCAUUAAAGGAUUUCACUUCCUCUUCAUUACUAGCUAAAACCACAGAGCUUUGCAUUCUUGCACUUGGAACCUUCCCCGGCAACCUUAGCUCCAAGGAACUAGAGGUUUAGUUACUCAUUCUCUGGGGAAAACUCCUCAGAGAGUUCAUAACUUAGUAAGAAAAUGAAAAUACAAAGUGAGAAGGUAAGGCAGUGGAAAGAAAAUAAACUUUACUUGCUUACCCAAACUUUUAUAGAAGGAACUCCUCCCUGAGAACAGGCUCCCGAGAGGUAUAUAUAUGUACAUAAUAUAAAACUAAUUAUUACAUAGAUAUUUAGUCUUUUUACUAACUUAAAAGCUAAGGAAUCAUGUAAUUGGUGGUUUACAAGGAGUAUUUUGGGAUUUAGACAACAAAAAUCUAAUGGAAAAUAUCUCCCAAUGUCGGUAGCAAAUAUCGGGAGGCUUCAGGAACCAUUUUGCAGGAGAAAAAUGGUGUCUGCGAGAUUUCGCAGACACUCAAGAGGGCUGCGAAAUAAUUUCGCAACACCAAGCUAUCUUCACAGGGCUGCGAAGAUGGCUUCCACCUUGAGGUUCCCAGCUUCCUUCUCGUGGCAUAAAUCGGGCAUCGUCAGAAGGAGAAACAUUACACUGUUCAAAAAGGCUGCGAAAUCACUUCGCAACAAAAGGGUGAUUUUGCAACACUUUGCAAAAUGCUUCUUUCAGCUCGGAGUGAUUGGCUUGUAAUGGCUGCAACUUCUUCGUUUCAACUCCGAAUUGCACACCAUUUGAAGCAUUGGAUUUUUAACUUCCUGAGCUUUGAAAUGGUAUAUAGCAUGCAUCAUUUGGACUUCAUAAAGUGCUCCAAAAGUGGCUGCUAUGACUGUCAUCAAGAAUAUGCUUUAUGGCAGAUUCUCUUUGCUUUUUCUCCUUGCAAUCCGGAUUUACUCUUGGCAAAUGACUUCUAAGCUUUGCCCAAGAUUCCUCAUAGCUCUCCUCAGUCUUGACUUGCUUUGGUGAUCAAAAUACUAACAAAAACACCAAAACUUACACAAAGUGAUCAAAAUUGCUUUCAAGGGUCCUUAACAUGCCAAUUGAGUUAAAAGGCCUAAACUACUACUCAAAAGUGUUUAAAAUAAUUUAUUAUAGGCUAUCAAAUAGCACUUUUUGAGUAGUAAUCAACAUACACUAGAACGAAAAUGGUACAACUAGCUGAAUGUCUAAUGAAUAGAGAAUGAUCAAAUUUGGAGGACAUAAACCCCAAAGAAACUAAAACAUCCCUUAGUUUUUCAAACCAGGCUCUUGGAGUUUGCUUUAAACCAUAUAAUGCUUUAUGCAACUGACACACCAAGUGUAGAGAAUUUGAAUUUUCAAAGCCAGCUGGUUGUUCCAUAUGCACUUCCUCCUGUAAAUCUCCAUUUAAAAAUGCAUUAUUCACAUCCAACUAUCUUACAUACCAACCAUUCGAUAAAGCAAUUAUUAAAAAAAUUCUUAUUGUAAUAGGCUUGACUACAAGACUAAAAGUCUUAGUAAAAUCAAAACUUACAAGUUGGAGAAACCCUUUUGCUACCAAUUGUGCCUUAUGCUUCAGUAUACUACUAUCUGGAUUUUCUUUUACUUUAAACACCCAUUUACAACCAAUUGCUUUCCUGUUAAGUGGUAAAUGUACUAGUGACCAAGUCUUGUUUUUAACAAGUGCUGACUACUCCUCAGUCAUAGCAGCUUUCGAAUGAUCUUGCUGUAAAGCUUCUUGAAUGAAAACUGGUUCUUUAGAAGCCAUAAAGACUUAAGGUUUGAAUAUUCCAGCCUUAGAUCUAGUUCUCAUGGAAUGAACAUUUCUAGAUACAUUUGAUACAGGCUUAGCAUUGGUUUGGUCAGAAUUGGAUUGGUCAGCAACUGUGUUUGUAAUAGAAGAAGUGGAAAGUGAGGGUAUAGACAGAAUUGAGGAAUGAAUAGGAAUAAGAGCAGAAUGGGAAGUAGGUGUUGGACUAGGAAUAGAGGAAGGAGAAGUAAUGGACUUGGUUUUAGCAAAAGGAAAUGAUUUCUCAUUGAAUUGAACAUCUCUGGAUAUGUAGAUACAACCUUGAGGAUCUAAACACUUGAAACCUUUAUGUUUGAUACUAUAGCCCAAGAAAGUACAUUCCACAUAUUAAAAUUGGAACUUAGUAUUGCUGUAGGGUCUAAGGUUUGGAAAACAGGACCAGCCAAACACUUUCAACAUGAAAUAAUUUGGUUGUUGUUUGAAUAGAACUUGGAGAGGAAUUUGACCAGAAAGUACUAAGGAAGGCAACAUGUUGAUAAAAAAAAUUGAUGUUCAAACAGCUUCAUCCCAAUAUUGUAGAGGUAAAUAGGCAUGAGCUAAGAGUGUCAAGGGUGUUUCAAUGAUAUGCCUAUGUUUGCGUUCAACAAGACCAUUUUGUUCAUGGGUUCUAGGACAAACAACUCAGUGAAUUAUGCCAUUAGACUCAAGAUAAUUUGUAAAAGCUUGGUACUCACCACCCUAAUCAGAUUGGAUUUUCUUGAUAAAACAACCUAGUUGUAACUCUACCUAAGUUUUGAAGUUAAUAAAUGUUUACAAGACAUUAGAUUUAUUCUUGAGUAGAUAAACCCAAGUGAAACAAGCGAAUGAAUCAACAAAGUGAACAUAAUAGUUAUAGCCAUUAGAAGACAAAACAAGGGAAGGUCCCCACAAGUCUGAAUCUAUGAGUUCUAGAGGUUUUAUGUACUUAGUAGUAGAAUCAAGAAAGAGAAAUUUAUGAUGCUUUCCUAGACAACAAGCAUUACAAAAAUCAGGCAAGUCUUUAUUGAUGGUUGGAAAAUUACAAAAAAAACAACACUUUUUUAAUCACUUUAGCAUUAGAAUAGCCUAACCUAUUGUGCCAAAAUUAAAAAAUAGGAUCAAUUGAAGCAUUAGAGGCUAUUGUUGUAGCUUGUACAGACAUACAUUUUGGAUUUAUAGGAAAGCAUGGAACAUGAUAAGCUGACGAGGACUUGAGUGACUGGGACUUGAGUUGAAUGCUUGAGCUAUCAAAAACAUACAGUCCAUUGGCUACCUUACCCUACAGUAGGAUAGUUCUUGUGACUUGGUCUUUAACAAAACAUUGAUUAUAAUGGAACUCAAAGAACACGUUAUUAUCAUGAGCAAAUUUAGAGACACUCAAAAGAUUUUUCGAAAUGGAUGGGACAUGAAGAAGUUGUUUUAAAACUAGAAGUUUAGAUGAAAAUUGAGAAGGAAAAGUUGACUGACCAAUGUGUUGAAUUGCAAGAUUAGUACCAUCUCCCAUAUGAAUUUGGUCAUUUUUUGCAUAUAUGUCUUGAAUAAUGAGAUUAUUGGGAUCUGGUGUGCAGUGGUUGGUUGCACCAGAGUCGGGAUACCAACUAUUAUCUAUCACAACAUUAGGAUUAACCACCAUAGCAGCCAUCUGGGCAGACAUUUGUGGAGUUGCAUUCUAUUGAAAUUUUGAGAUCUGUAAUUACCUUGUCCAUUGAAAUUGCGUUGAAAACUACUUUGUCCUCCAUUAAACUUUUUAUGGGAUUGUUGAUUGUUAGAAAUCUUCACCAUAUUCACUUGAUUUGCUAAAUCAAGCUCCUUAGAAUGUUUUUCCAUCCUGUUUUCUUGUGCUAACAACAAUGAUUCAAUCUCUGCGACUGUAUACAGAUCAUUUCUUGAAUUCACUGUAACAACAAAUGUAUCAUACUCAAAAGACAAUCCAUCAAAGAUUGCAUCUAUAUGAUCUUUGGUUGUAACAACAUAUCCAACAGAAGCUAGCUGAGCAAUUAGGGAUUUAAUCUUUAACAGAUAAUCAUUUACUGAUAGAUCAUCCUUCUUUGUGUUAUGGAACCUAGUCUUGAAUUGAGAUAUCUUAACUUUGGUUUGUGAGGCAAAGAACACCUCAAGAGUUUUCCAAAUCUGACAUGAAGUGUCACACCCAACCAUUUGCAUGAGCAUCGCUUCUGUCAUUGAAGAGAGUAGCCAUGAAAAGAGCAGCCAAUCUUGUUGUUAUUAGUCAAGAUACUCUGGAUUUAUCUUCCCUUGAACACGAUCUCCAGUCGUAAGAAACCUUUCUGGUGGAUUUUCAUUUUCCAAAAUAAAUUUUUGCAGUUUGUGACCUUGUAUUGCAACUCCAACUUGCCAUUUCCAGAGAAGAAAAUUGCUAUCAUCUAAUUUGAUUGACAACGAGUGUGCGACUAUAGAAGGAGAGCUCUUCAACGAAGAAGAAAAUGAUUUCUCUCCAGCCAUUUAGAAUGGCUUUGAUACCAUAUUAGAAUUGAUAAAAUGGGUAUUUCAUGUUGAUGAGAAAACAUAGUUUACAACUUAAAUAAUCCUCUAUGUAUCUAACUACUAAUAAUGUAUAACUAACAGGUAAAGAGUGUGUAACUAAUUUCAUAACCAGAUAACAAUAACAUGUUGUCUCUUCAAUGAUUACUUUUCUUAUUUUGUGUUCCUAAGAGUCGUUACUAAGCUUUAUUUGAAAUGCCCCAGGUGUUAGUUUUGUUUUAUUUUCUUAUUUUUAUUUUGAGCUAGGAACACAUUUUCUGAUAUCUUGGGAUGUAAUUUUUUUAAACUAUGGGUGUUCAAGGAAGUUGCCACUAUUGGCAAAUUUCAACGAGGGUUCUUCAAUGAACUUGCCACUGCAUGCAUGUCGGCACUGGAUCAUAUUACAGCUAGCUUUUGAUAUUAGUCGCAAUUUUUCAGCGAUGUUUCUGUGAAGGAACUUGCCACUUGCCACUUGCCACUUGCCACUACAUGUCGGCAAUGGAAAUCUUACAGCUAGCUUUGGAUGCAUGCUUUGAUGUCCAACAAAUAUCCCACGUACCCAACUCUAAUUCCUAUGCUUUUCCUAGAAAAACGGCACAAGUGAUUCUGUAUCUCACUUCUCUUCUUGCCCAUUUCAUAGCACCGGCCGCGAAAACUCUUGUGUGGCCUCAUAUCAUCAUCAUGGUAGUUUAAUUAUUUAAUUAUUGCUUAUUGCCAGGAAGAUGUAGUGUACGCGUGAUCAGAAGUUUGGACAUGAGAGAUCUGUUCAUGAUCUCUAUUUUCAAAGGCGGAUCUUGAAGGAACUUCCCACUUGCCGGCAAUGGAUAUAUCCACAGCUUUGAAUGUUCAGAUUCCCAGGCUUUUAAUUUUGUCCGCAUAUGGCAGUGUUUUGAGAAUUUUUCAAUUUGUAAGAGAAAAAUUUUCUUUUAGAGAUACGUAGCUGGCAAUACACGGCAAGUAAUGCUAUUGCUCUCCCUUCAUAUUUCACUGUGGAAAUUUCCCGGGAACCAAACACAACUGAGUUAGCAAUUUGAUUAAUUGAAUUUCAUCUGUAUUUCUUGAGGCAAAUUAUAUAUACCUUUGAAAACUUCCAAACGUCAAUAUUAACCAACUCAAACGUAUGUUAAUCUAAAUGGGUAACCACUUUCCCAGAAAAGAUUCAAAAAUUGCUGAAGUUUGGUUCUUCGUGGGAUGGGAAGAUGAUUAUGCUCAUGGAGCUCUCGGGAAAAUGCCCACUGAUAGAGAUAUUAUUGUCUAGUUCGAGGGCUUCCUUGAAAAUAUUGACACCCCCGGCUUCCUUGAAGGCUUCUUAAGCUAGCUUAUAUGCACCUUACCUCAGUAUAUGGAUCUGCAGAGAGUAUAGCCUACCUUCACAACCACUCUCAACAAGCCCCAUAAACGUGCUCAGCUCUCAACAAUCCACCAUCGAUCCUUCUUUGUCCCGAAAAUGUAUUCCUUGAGAGUUGACACACUCGUGAGUAGUGCAAAAAUGGUGUUCCUUCUGGUCUUGAUCCUUACAGGUCUUGCAUCUUUCUCAGAUGCAAGGACUUUGGGAGAGAAGCCGAAGGAGAGUACCAACGUAGCGUCCACACUUCCGAAUCAAACUGGUCCAGUACCGCCAUCCAAGCCUUCUUCCUGCACUUACACCCCCAGCCCGCCUGCCCCUGGCCACUGCCACAACCAUAGAUGAACUUCAAUUUGCUGGGAGAGGAGGAAGAACGGAAAUUAUAGUUACUUCGAUGUCAACUUUGGAAGAAUAUAUUUUAGAUUUGAUUAGAUGUUGAAGUACAAACAUUUUUUAUUUCUAUAUCUAAUCAACUCUCUAAGAUAUAUUCUUCGUGAAAAUAACUUACGAGAUAUUUUGGGUUUCAAUUCUUAAUUCCGUAUUUCUUCUUUUCAACAAAUCUGCUUUGUUGUAACUUCAGAUUGUAAAUCAGUUAUGCUACUUACACAAUUUGGAAUAUAAUGAAAUUCAUGGUUUGUUUGUGUUCCUUAAUUGCCUGUGAACAAAUAAUAAAACAAGUUGUUCAAUCUUAUGUAUUUUCUCUUUGGUAAAUUAAAACUGCACUUCCCUUUUCUAGUUCCACAUAGUAGCAUCCAAGGAUAAAAAUAUUGGGAUAUAUCGGUAGUAUAUCACUGAUAUAUCAUGUAUCAAAGAAAAUGUAUACGAUAUAUGGGUAAGAUAUAUUGACCAACAAAAAUAUUGGAUUUUAUUAGGAAAUAUCGUCGAUAUAUUAAUUUCCAAUAAAUUUGCAACAUAAUAAAAAUAUUCGGCCCUGGAUGGAAAAAAUUGUUGAAAUUUGGAUGAUUUAUCAACGAUAUAUCAACAAAAACUCGAUGAAAUAUCGGUGAUGUCUAAUGCCCAAACUUUUAAUUUUUUUUUUUUUAACGGGCUAAUGUUGAAUCAACUCAACCAAACUAUACAUGAUGACUUUAAAAUUUUCUCUCAUAGGUCAAAAGAUAGAUGGAAUCCAAUGACUUCAUAGAUGUAAUUUUUAACUUUAAUACAAUGAGCUAAAGGCAGAAUUGGACCCAACAUGCCCAUUUAUUGUGGCUUAUGUUUUAAAACAGAUGACUUCUAUCAUUAAGCCAAACUUAUUUUAUGAUAUAUUAUGAUGUAUGAUAUAUAUAUAUAUAUAUAUAUAUAUAUAUAUAUAUAUAUAUAUAUAUAUAUAUAUAUAUAUAUAUAUAUGAUUAUUAUUUUAUGAUAUAUUUAUGAUAUAUAUAUAUGCUUAAAAUUCUUUAUCUAUAUGAUUAUUGUAUGUAUAUUUUUAUAUAUUAUAAUAUAUUUUAUAAAUUAAUUAAAAUAAAAUUAUUAUAAAUAAGUUAAUUUUAAUUAUUUUAUAAUCUAAAAUAUCUACUGAUAUUUCUGUAAAAUUCAAAUUUCGAUAUAUUCGUGAUUAUUGAUUCCUUGGUAGCAUAUGAUAUCAGAAUGAUAAAUUAAAGAAAAAGAACCAUAAGAGCGCUUCUUGUUACUUUCGGUGUUCUUACCCAUAUUUGAUUUGGCCGUUUCUGAAUAUUCUUUACAUUGUUGAUUGGAGUGGACGGAAAGUGCCACAAAUUGUUGUGUUGAGGUUGGUUCUUGUCAUUUAUUAUGCUCUCAUCUGCAUUUUUGUUUUUCUUUAUUCUCUUGCUAAUUCCAAGACGCCAUUAGUACUGUUAUGGGCAUUACGAUCACUUGUUUGCUUGCUGAAUUUCAUCGUUUGUGAAUUUGUUUUUUUUUUAAGUUUUAUUCUUGGAUGCUUUGAUUUUUCCCCCUUUUAAGCAGUUGGAUUCAUUCUUGAGUCUAGUGUUUGGUGAUCAAAUAUCUUUUUUCCAUGCUUGGCUCACCUGUUCGAAGCCCGUUGAUUCGAAACAUAAAACAUGGUUUUUUCUGGUUCUUUCUAUUUCUAUUUUUCUUUUAUGCUCUGUUUUUGGAUACCUUUCUUUCUUUUUUAUACUUGUCUAUGAAGUUUUUUUUUUUCUUUCUAAAAACAGUUGGAGCGUGGAAUUCAAAUUUGGAAGGACAAAAUGGAAAGAAAACACAAAAUUAUGCUAGAGUAAAUAUAAAUCGGUUGGGUCUGAUGAAGGCACUAGGUCACCUACAGUCGUUCUUUGCGAUGAAUGACAUAGGAUGAGGAAAAAUGGUGAGAGGCCAAAAGAAGUGUCAAAAACUACUGGUUCAUCACCAAGGAUUACACCGAAGUCAGAAAAAUCAUAUGAGAUUUCUUCAGCUCCAUAAAUGCUUUAAUUGAAAGUUGUGCCAAGAUAUAUGAAGUUAGUGCAUCUGCAACACCUGAUGAUGCUCCCCGAGUUUUAUGCAUUGGAACUGCCGACACAAAGCUAGAGGAGAUCCGAUUCUUGGCCGAGUCUAUUUGAUCCAAUUUGAACAAUAUCUCCAACACUUAUUCUACUACCAAGUUAAAAGUGACAAUUGUUAAUGUAUUCUACCCACCAAAACGAGAUUGACAGUGUGGGGAAUUUUAUAUUUGUACCCAAAAAAUAUAUAUUCUCUUGCUAUUUUGGGUCUAUGGAACAAAUAUCUUGUCCACUGCCAAAUGACAGAGGCAAAUGAAUCCCAAAAGGUCUAGGGUCUCUUAUUUAUAAGGGGUCAUAAUCCUAGGGAUCCCAAAAGAUAGGUUGUUAGGAAACACACCUCGAAAUGACACACCGCCUGACAAAAUGCCUCGGUGGAAGUAACCCCCCUUUAAACAACUGACACGUGUCUCACUCACACUAGGGAACUCCAAGGGACAUUUUCAGUUCAUACACCUCUGCCUGAACAUAGGUGCACACGAUGUAGGGGGCAUUGUGGGGACCUUCUCCCACAUGUCUACCCACGUGUACCUCCACACGUCUAUUCACAUGGCAUCAUCCUAGCUGGACCACGUGUCACCCUUUUCAUCAUAGUUCGGACAACCUUCUAGGCACUCGAAAAUAUCCUAUUCUGACCAUUUGUGCCACUAAGCAUACCACACUUCCCUAACAACCCUAAAUCAUAUUGGGUGUGUAAGGAUUUGGUUGUCUAACAUUGGAAUGAUUGAUGAGACUCUUCCCAUUUGAUUACUACUCAAAAAGGGCUAUUUGAUAGCUUGUAAUUAACUCUUUUAAACACUUUUGAGUAGUAGUUAUUGCCUUUUAACCCAAUUAACAUAUUGAGGACCUUUGCAAUCACUUCUAAUCAUUUUGUGUAAGUUUUGGUGUUUUUGUUAGUAAUUUGAUCACCAAAGCAAUCCAAGGUGGAGGAGAGUUAUUUGGAAUCCAUGGUAAAGCAAUGGAAAGCUCAGGAACAUGAAGAAUCAGAGCUUUGAAGCCUUAAAGUCCUUUGCCAUAACCAAUCCGGAAUGCAAGGAGGAGAAGUAAAGAGAGAAUCUACCUUGAAGCAUUCUUGAUGACAGUCAUUUCAGCUACUUUUGGAGUACUUUCUGAAGUCCAAUUUAUGCAUGCUUUAUGUCGUUUCGAAGAUCGGGAAGUCAAAAAUCCAAUGCUUCAAACGGUUUGCAAAUCAGAGUUGAAAUGAAGAAGUUAGAGCCAAUAGAAGCAGAUCACUCCAAGUUGAAGGCCAAUUUCGCAGGGCUGCGAAAUCAGCCUUCGUCUGCGAACUUUCGCAGCCAUUUUGUGCGCCUGCGAAAUUCUCCUGAGUGCUUCCAGAUAUUUGCGACCAACGUUUUUUGAUAUUUUGCUUCAGAUAUUUGUUGUCUAAAUCCCAAUUCUCUCCUUGUAAUCCACCAAUUAGAUGAUUCCUUAGUUGUUAAGCAAGAAUACAGGGGUAAACAACCUGUUAUAUAUUGUUUUGUAAUUUUCAUUUUUCGGACUGUCGGGGAACUUUCUCCAGGGGACCAACUUAUGUAAAUUUUACACUUAGUGAAAUACAGAGUAUCUUUUGCUUUCUUUUUCUCUCUACUAUUUUCUAUUUUCUUAGUAGCCAAACAUCCUUGGAGGAUGAAAUCCCCAAGGAUGAGAGGCUAAAACCUUUUAGUUUCUUGAAGUAAUGGAUGCCAUGUGAAGCUCCCGUGUCAGGAUGGAGAUUUCCAAGCCAUGAAUGUAAGUAGCUGAGCAUCAUAAAUGUUUUCAUUCAAAGUAAAGCUUUUAAUCCCUCUGACUUGCUUUGAAUGGCCAAUACUUGAUAACUUUUUGGUCUCAGUGGAUUCUUAUUGUUAGAUCCACUGACGUUCAUUAGUUAUCUCCUACGAGCCAUUGUAUUGCAAGUCGAGGAGAUGACCUAUAUCAUUAAAAGAGCAUUUAUGAGGUUCAGCUACCCUUUUUGUAAGUUUUGAAGGACUAAAACUCAGUUGUUAAACACAUACCGGUUCGGGAAGUAAGCAUCACCUUAGUUGCUUCCCCAACUCGAGGUGAAAAGUUCCAAAAUCUCCAUUUUUACACAGUGAGUUAAGCAUGGCUAUCCAAAGCUUUGAGAAACUUCUUUUUCCAUCUUUUAACCUAUUUUCAUGUUAGUUUAGUUUACAACAUCUUCAUCUUUUUAUGUUUUCAUCUUAACCUAAUUUUUAUUAAGAAAAGUUCACUCCAUCCUCCGAACUUCACCAGUUAAAGUAAAAACCCUUCCCAUUGUUCGAUCCUAGAGCCACUAUGCUAUAGUAGCUUUGCUACUUUAGUGUAAGGACCUUAGGUAUAAAUUUUGUUGAUACCCUUACAUGCCAAGCUACCAAGAGUCGGGUUAUCACCAUUCUCAUGUCUACAUCAACGGACUGUCACGUCCAGUCCCGUACCUUCAACAAGUUGAAGGGAUGACAAGCUGUAUCAUAACGCGUCGUCUAACACAACCCCCAGCCGUCUUGCAGUUGUGAUGAUUACCCUGUCACUACUGCAUAGUCAUCAAUCACUACAAGAGCCAGCUCAGCACUAUUGUGUCCUCCACUUUUGGGUGCUAUAAAAACCCUAAUGAAAUAGAACAAAGAAAGGGGGCAACACGGUGAGUUCUCUCACCUACUCUCUCUCCCUCUUUCUCUCUCUAAGGGUUUAUAUUCAUUCCAAAGUCUGACUUAGGCUUCGGAGAGUGUAUUCGGACAACCCGUCCAACAUCUUCGUUUAGGUAAGCAAAGAGCCCAGAUUCUAGCAUCUGAAUAGGAACUUUUGCUGCCACUACCAAAGAAAGGAAUCCAUCCUCAGUUGACAUGGUAUCAACAGAAACGAUUCAAACUAGAGGUAAAGAUUUGAUUAUGAUUUCUUUUUCUUUUUCCAUUUUUUGUGCUUUGAUUGGUUACCGAGAAAAAUGGAGGAAGACAAAGAGAAAUUUUUAUCUUACAUUUUAUGUAGGUUUGGUUUUCUCAAAAAUGAAAAAGCUCUAAAGUUGCGUUAUUGUAUUAGGUUUAGCUUUGUGGAAACUUUUUUACUUGAACCCAAAUUUUGAUUUAUUUUUUUAUUUUCAUCAACCAGGAGGAAUUGAAAGAGAAGACGAGGGUUGAAAAAACCCUAAAGUAAAAUUGGUUUUUUUUUUCCAAAAAAUAAGGUGGAGUUUUCUCAAGAAAAUAUCGGUUUCCCACUCAAAGAUCGAAGUUGGCCCUUAGUUCAAUAAGAAGAUCCUCUAUCCUCUUCUCCAAAUGCUCCGCAAGUUACUCAAGAUAAUUUGAAGAAAAAAUCCUCAAAAUUCAAGUAAUCAAUCAAUUGGAUCAAAUUACAUUUGCAUUUCGAGCUCAUUUCUCCAAUUCACCAUAAAUCUUGCCUCUAGAUCCUUCUUCCUCCAAGAAAAAUGAGAUUUAGCCACUCAUGCUCAGAGAUUUGGUCUCACAAGGCAUAUUUAGCUAGCAAAAAAAUGAGAGAAAAUGAAGAAAAAUAGAGAAUUCUAUUAAGAGAGAAAAUAUAGAAAAUUCUACAAUAAAAAAUGUCUCAAAAGUUCUUUAAUGAGAAAUUCAAGUUUCUAUUUAUAGGCCAAGGUCAAGUGGACACUUGACAUCAUUUAAGAGAUUUUUUGGAAGCUUCUCCAUUCAACAAUUUGGAAUUAAUCAGCAAAUAACCAUUUUGCAUGAAGAAAACCAAUUUUGCAUGGUUGUGCAAAAUCAAUGGAGUAAUAGCAAUUUCAUUAGAUUCCUAGACCAUUUCGCAUGAUUGUGCGAAAUUUUCACAUGUUCAUGUGAAAUCAACUUGUAAAUUCUUCUUAGCCUGCAACACAAAUUUCUUUUCUAGCCCAUUUCUCACAAUCAUGCGAAAUUUUUAUAUGAUCAUGUGAAAUUGCAUCAUAUGGUUUUUAAGUUUCUCUUUGUUACUUCCUUCAUUUUCAUAUUUUGACUCCACUUUAACUACUUUUAGUUGACUCUAAUUCCCAAUCCAAUUACAUUCCAUCUUCCUCAAAAGAUUAUUUGUCAUCUUCAAUUUCAUUUCUUUCUUUUGUCACUCAAUGCAUCAAUAUUCACUUCGAAAUAACUCUAAAACUUCACAAAAAUCAGUAGUAUCUCUUGUAAGGGCAACAAUGUAUUAAUUGGGUAUGUUAGGCAUAAUUACUACUCAAAAAGUAUGAAAUUCAUGAUAAUUAUUAUUUAAAAUGUGUUAUUUUUAGUAGUAAUCACAAGUUAUCCCUCAAAUUAGGAGGUAGUGCACUAUAACUUUAGAUAGAUUGCCUAUGUCUAUGAACCAACUAUGAACAACUCAUCAACUUACAAUGAACCUAUGAUUUGAAUCUUUCAUGCAACUCUUAAUACACUAAGUCAUGUGUAAUGCAUGUGAUAUAGACCUAAAUGCUCAAAUAAACAUUAAUGUAAUUAGGGAUAAAAUAGUGAAAACUAAAUACUUAUUUAUUACAUCAUGUCAUGUUUUUAAGGGUUAUGUCUCAAUAGGUGACACAAUAAAAUAAAAUAAAAAACCAAGGAACCACCAAAAGGGUAAACACAUUCAGAUGAAGUAUAUUUUGUUUCGUGAGAUAGUUCAAAAAGGUAAUGCGACUAUGGAGCAAAUUCUUUUUGCAACACCCAUUUUGCUUUUAAGGCGAGCGAGGGAUUGUUAGGAUAUAACCAUUCAAAACGGUGAUAUGAUGUAACAUUUAAUUUCAUAAUAUAUUAUAUCAACUUUCUUUUCUAUUCUAUUUGCACUAAUUGCUAUAUUUAAGAAUUUAGGUCUAAUCACUUGUAUUGUAUGUGACUUGAGUACAUUAAGAGCUAUAUGAAAUAUUCAAAUCUUGGAUUUAUUACAAGUUGAUAAGUCAGUUCAUAGACUUGGGAAGUCCAAUAGAUUGGUUGGAAAACUUGUCUUGAUAAUUGGAAUGAGUUUCUCAUAGGGAGUGUUCUAGUGUAUAUGGUUAUAUAUCAAACAAGAUCUAUGAAGACUCAUAAUUAAAUGACUAUUAGGUUGUCAUGAUUACUUCAAGCUACUAUGUUACCAAGUUUUGAACCUAGAUAGAACAUUAAGCUAGUAUUAAGGUCAUUAGUCACUUUAACCUGUAAGAGAAAUACAUAGUUCUAAAAGGCACGCCUAGGCUCGGGGCGGCGCGACGCCACCGUCCGGCGCCUCACCCUAAGGGAGGCGAUGCCCCUUCACGAAGGCGCCGCUUAGGCGCGCAAGGCGCUCGCCUCUAGCAAGGCAUGAGGCGGUCGCCCGAGUCGCCUCCGACGAUCCGACCAAGUACGCACUCUUUCUCCUUCUCCUUCUCCUUCUUCUUCUUCUUCCUCCUACCGUCGAGAUGCAGAGAGGCGGCCCAAGCGGGAGCCCUAAAUUUUUUUUUUAUUUGCUGGGCCCAAAACGACGCCGUUUUGGCCUGUUCCUCCUAUCCAGCCCCUUUUUUUGGUCUUUCUCAACCUGAGACCAUUCCCAUUCUUUGCCUUAGCCUCUUUCAUGUUGGAAAAGUGAAGAAGAAAAAAAAAAAAAAAUAGGGGGGAAAUAGGAGAAAAAUAAAGGAAAAAUAGUCACGUACCUUCCGGACCUCGGUAUUUUGCUUUUUUCUUUACUUUUCUGCAUUUUUUUCCAUUCUUAUCUCAUAACUCUCAUUGGAAAUAUUUUUUUUAAAUAUAAAUAUUAUAUUUUGAGUUUUUGACAUGAAAAUUUUACAAAAUAAAAAUAAAUAAACAAAAAGCACUCAUAUGCAUAUUUGUUGUUAAUGUGAUAAUGUGAUAUGCAUUUUUUUUUCAAUUUUUUUUCUUAAUUUAAUUAUAAUUAUUUUAUUGUAGAGUAUAAAUAAUUUGUUUGCAAGAUGGAUAAUGAGAGUGAAACUCAAGUAGACUCUAGUGCAAGUGGAAGAAGAGAUCCGGGGUGGAAAUAUGGUCGUUUGGUUAAUGAAAAAGAUUUGAAUACCAUCAUAUGCAUUUUUUGUGAUAAAGUAACCAAAUGAGGCAUAUAUAGACACAAACAACAUCUUGUUGGUGGAUAUAGAAAUGCUAAAAAGUGUAGAAAAUGUCCAGAACGUGUUAAAGAAUAAAUGGAAGAGUAUAUGAGUUCCAAGAAAAAUCAAAAAGAGCAAAUGAAUAUGGGGAGCGAAUAUGUUAAUGAAGAUUUGUUUGGUUUGGAAGAUGAAGAUAUUGGUGAGGAGAUUAAUGGUAGAACGAAUGUCACCAAAAUUUCUAGUGGAGGUAGUAACCGAGGAGGAAGUGGUGGUAGGACAUUUUCUUCAAAAAAACCAAGACAAAAAGGUCCUAUGGAUCAUUUUUUCACUCCUAAUGCAGAGAUGGUUGUUCAAAAUCGAAGGAGUGGAAAGAUGAAUCAAACUACCAUCAAUGAUGCCUACAAAAAGGAAGCAAGAGAAAGAGCUUGUAUGCUUGUCACAAGAUGGAUGUAUGAGGCUGCUAUUCCAUUUAAUGCAGUCACAUAUCUGAGUUUCCAACCAAUGAUUGAGGUUAUUGGCCAAUAUGGUGUGGGUAUGAAGGGACCAACUUUUCAUGAGGUAAGAGUUACUAACCUUAAGAAAGAAUUGGCUCUCACAAAAGAUUUGAUGAAAGAUCAUAUGGUGGAAUGGGGGAAAAAUGGAUGUUCAAUUAUGUCGGAUGGAUGGACUGAUAGGAAAGAGGGAACUUUGGUGAACUUUUUGGUUAAUUGUUCAAAGGGAACCAUGUUCAUGCAAUCCAUUGAUGCUUCUUUAAUGAUUAAGAUGGGAGAAAAGAUGUUUGAGUUACUUGACAAAUGGGUAGAGCAAGUUGGUGAGGAGAAUGUUAUUCAAGUUAUAACAGAUAAUCACUUAAGUUAUGUGAUGGCAGGUAAUAAAUACUAUUUCUUGAAUUUUUAUUUACUUUUAAAAUUUGAAUUAUUUAUCUUGAGAAAUUAUGUAAAUUUAUUAUCUACAAUGUCAUAUAGGAAGGUUGUUAGAAUUAAAGCACCUACAUUUGUAUUGGACACCAUGUGCUGCACAUUGCCUUGACUUCAUGUUGGAAGAUAUUGGAAAGCUACCAAACAUCAAGAGGACAUUGGAGAGGGCUAUAUCACUAAAUCUGUAUAUUUAUAAUUGCUCAGGGCUACUCAACAUGAUGAGGCGGUUUACUGGACAAAGAGAAUUGCUUAGGCCUACUAAGACUCGGUUUGCAACUGCUUUCAUCACAUUAUCGCGAUUGCAUGAACAAAAAAACAAUUUGAGGAAGAUGUUUACAAACUCGGAUUGGUCAGAUAGUAAAUGGGCAAAAGAGCAGAAGGGGAAAGCUAUAGCCAACAUAGUUCUAAUGCCUUCAUUUUGGAACACUAUUGUGUUUUGCUUAAAGGUUUCAGGUCCCCUAGUUCGUGUGCUUCAUUUGGUUGAUGGUGAAAAAAAAGCUCCUAUGGGAUACAUCUAUGAGGCCAUGAAUAGAGCUAAUGAUACAAUUGUGAGAAGUUUUAAUGGAAAUGAAGAGAAGUACAAAGAAAUCUUCAACAUCAUUGAUAAGAGGUGAGAGAUUCAGCUUCAUCGGCCUUUGCAUGUAGCAGGGUACUUUUUGAACCCGAAAUUCUUCUAUGAUAAGCCAGAAAUAGAGCAUGAUGCCAAGAUUAUGAGUGAUUUGUAUAAAUGCAUCUUAAGGCUAACAAGAGACCUUGCUAAGCAAGAAAAAGUUGUGGCCGAAGUGAGUUUGUUCACAAAUGCCCAAGGACUAUUCGGGAAUGAGUUAGCUGUUAGGACAAUAAAGACUAGAGCACCAGGUUAGUUAUUUAGUUUUGUUUAUUUAAAUGAUUAGAUUGUAUUUUUGCUAAAAUAGGUGAAUUGUUUAACUAAAUUGUUAAUAUCUAUACUAUAGCUGAAUGGUGGGCUGCAUAUGGAGCUUCAGCUCCAAAUUUGCAAAAGUUUGCAAUGAAAGUCCUCAACUUAACAUGUAGUGCAUCAGGUUGUGAACGGAAUUGGAGCAUCUUUGAAAAUGUAAGUGACCAAAUCCAAAAUAAUUACAAGUAAUAGUCUAAUAGAGUCUUGAAUGUAACUUAAAAGUUAAAACUUUAAAAUAUAUUUAUGAGCUUAUGAAUUUUUGCAGAUUCAUAGCAAGAGGAGAAAUAUGUUAGAUCAUCAACGCUUGAAUGAUUUAGUGUACAUUAAGUAUAAUCGAGCGUUGAAGAGAAGAUACAAUGAACGUAACACCAUUGACCCAAUUUCCUUGAAAGAUAUAGAUGAUAGCAAUGAAUGGUUGAUAGGGAGAAUGGAAGAUGAAGAUUCUCAUGGAGGUGCACAAGAUGAUUUUGUAUUUGAUGAUGAUAAUUUGACAUGGGGUGAUGUUGCUAGAGCUGCUGGAGCUGAGAAGGCCAGGUUUGAUACUAGAGCUAGGGCUAGAGCAAGCUCAAGCAUAAUACCACCAACAAGGGGGAUAGCUUCAAGUUCUAGAACUUUGCCUUCUCAUUCACUAAUAAAUGAAGAUGAAGAUGGAGACAUGGUUGAUUCAGCAGAUGAAGAAGAUGGGGAAGGCUACAAAUGUGGUGAUGGAAAUGAUGAUGAUGAUGAUUUUGUUGAUUUAGAGGAGGAGUGAUGAUUGCUUGUUGUGGACAAAUUUGUGAUUUAAGUGUUUUUAAUGAUGUUUUUGAAUUGUGGACAAAUUUCAUGUUUUGGACCUUUAGGUUCGGAAACUUUGGAUUUGGAUAUGUAUUAGGCAAUUAGCAAUAUGGAUUUGGAUUUGUUUUUAUGCUUGGAGUUCUUUAUUUUUAUGUUUUUUGUUUAUUAAAUUGAAGUUUUGGAUGAUAUUUGAUGAUUUAUGUGUUUAGGACAAAUAAAUGAUUGUUAAAUUUGAUUAUAUUAUAUAAAAAUAUAUAUGUAAAUUAGGGUGCGCCUCACUUCACUAAAGCCCGCACCUUAGAUGCGCCUUGCGCCUCAGGCUCCAGGACUACUUUGCGCCUUGAGCCUUUUAAAACUAUGGAGAAAUACUAGAGUGAUUACACAUUCCCUAUCGAUUAGGUAACUAAUGAUUUAGGCAAGUGGUAACAAGUAUUUUCAAUAAAGGUACCAUAAUAUCUCAUGAGUUUGAUAUAGUAUGCCCCCCUUGAAUAAUCCUUAAGACUUAUGAUCAUGAAAUCUAUGGUCAUAACAACCCUUUUAGUGGAAUUUGACAUGUCAUUUAUGAACAAAGGGAUAGAGAUAAGUAACAACGAAGGGAUCACCUACAUAGGCUAAGAGAUAGACUUUUUUUACCAUGGGAGUAGGAGCAAGCUUAACUUGAUCCAUAUAAGCUUUGUGGAGGAUCUCAAUGAUGUAUUUUUGUUGAGAUAAAAUAACACCUUAAAAAGUGAAAGUGAGUUCAAGCUUAAGGAAAUAGGAUGAGGUCCCAAGAUCUUUCAAGGCAAAUAAGGCUUGAAGCUGCAUGAUGAAGUGCUACACCUAAGUAGAAGAGCUCUCAGUGAUGAGAAUAUCAUCCAUAUAGAUAAAGAUGUAGAGAGAGUGGCUACCUUCAAACUUGAGGAAGAGAAAAAUAUCAACUUUGGAAAAGUGAAAUCCAAGUUGAUGAAACAAAAGGUGGAUGCAUUCAAACCAGGCCCUAAGGGCCUGCUGGAGUCUAUACAAAGUGUGAUGGAGUUUGCAUACCCAACUAAGAUGAGAAACGUCAAUAAACUCAGGAGAUUGGACCAUAUAGAUGUCUUUCUUAAGAAUGUCAUUAAGGAAGGCAUUGUUAAAAUCAAGUUGUCGCAUAAGACAUGUGAGAGAUGACAAAGCUAGAACCACCCAAAUUGUUGUAGGUUUGAUGACAAGACUAAAAGUAACAUGAAAAUCAAAACCCAAAACCUAGUGAAAUCCUUUAGCCACCAACCUCGCCUUAUACUUAUUCAUUUAGCCAUCUAAAUUUUGUUUGACCUUGAGUACCCAUUUAUAACCUACAACUUGACAAUUGGAGGGUGGUGGAACCAAGGACCAAGUGUUAUUGGAGCAAAAGACCUAGAACUCCAACUCUAUAGUGGCACGCCAUUCAAUGAUGGAUAGGCUUCAGAAAUUGAAUGAGGGGAUAGAGGAGAUGAAGAGAUACAUGUGGAUAACAAUGUUUUUGGUUUGAAAAUGUUACACUUGGAGUGGGUGAGCAUGGGAUGUGUGUUGUGAGAAAUUGAAAAAAAAAGAUGUAGUGACAACAUUUCUUCCCAUCAAAACUAUGGUGCCUUUAUGAUCAAUUUCUUAAUACCAUUAUAAAAGUUGUACAAAAUGAAAAUGUGAGGAAAAAGAGAUUUUUUGUGAAGGCUCCAUAUCAUUUGUUGUUCAUUUUACAACACUAUUGUCUUUUAUAUGCAGUUUUGUUAACUGAAAUAUAUUCUAUAAUUGACUAAACAGAUCCCUAGUUAUCCCACGCAUUGUGAAUCUUUAUUGAUGUUAGCUUCACAUGACUUUGCUAUUCCAUGUGAUCUUCCACUAAGGUUGCUAAAGUCAUCUUCUUGACAAUAACAAAGUAAUUUAUUCCCUUUCAAGUUUUUCUUUUACCAUCCUUAUCUAGAUCAAUAAUUAGGGAUGGUGAUUUGUUUGUCAAUUGGAUCACAAUGCAUAUCAAACCAACAUGUCUAUUUUCAUUCAAUGUCACCUCUUGUUGAGAUGUAGGAGAUUUUACUAUAAUACAUUAGUGGUCUGUUUUGUAUUGGCAAAGACUCUUUAUAAUUACUAUUAACUAUAGUAUAAGUAUUUGUGAAAGCUAUUUAUAAUUACUAUUAACUAUAAGUAAACUUAUUGCAAUUAAGUUAACGACUAUAUGGGUACGAUAUCUCUCAUGCCUUAUGAAUGAUGGUUGAGAUUUCUAAAUGGGUGAGAUUUCUUACUGUUAAUUGAUCAUACAAUCUUAUAAUUGGGUUUGUUAAAGAUGUUUCUUUAUAAUUGGGUCAUUGAUAAUUGUUUUGGAAGGUUGAUACAAAUUCGAUAAAGCUAAAGAAGCAAAGGGCACCCUUCAAUUGAUUAAGCCAGUAAAUUAAACAAGUUUAGGCAAUUGGAUUCAUUAAGGGACGAAUUGGGUUUGUUUUGCCAUGCUAUCAUAGGAAUAAUAUGGAUUGAAUUAAACUAUCCUAUCGUUGUAAUCGAAACGAAACCAUUGAGGAAUAUAAAUCAAUCUCCAUUCAUACCCUAAUAAAAUUCUAAAAAUAAAUAAUUAACUUGCAUAUUUAACUUAAGCUUAAUUGAUGCUCCUUGAGGUAUGAUUGAAAUUAAUUUAUAAAAAUUUUAAAAUAAAAUUUCAGCUUAUUAUUUAAAAAAAUUAAAACUUAGCAAAAGGUUAAGUAAUAAUUUAAAUGAUUUUAUAGAAAUAAUUUAAGACUUAAAAAUAGCUUAAUACAUAAAUUAAAAAGAUUGCCUUUUUCAGUUUAUAGAAAAAUUUAUUUGAUGUUGAAUAAAUACCAACAUUAAAGGUAAGAAAAAAAUUAAGAUAAAGAUUCUAUUUAUACCAAUUUUCUCAAUAAUUCCAAAAGUUUGAGACCGUGUUCAAACUUGAUGUAAAUCUACCUAAAUACCAUCAUCACUACCAUUAAAUAUACGUGACCAUCGUCUAUAAAAUUUAUUUUUCAAAAAUAGUUUAAAUAGAAAAACUUUAGUUAGUGUGUUAACUAAAAAUAUAAAUUUUAUAUAGGGAAUAUUACAUCAAACCACAUAGUAAAAUUAGUCUCUCAUUUUAAUUUUAUCCCAUCAGUAGACUUUAUCACUCAUACAUCAAUUUUGUUCCAUGAACCGUUCCAUCCUUUUAUCCUACAUCUCAGCGCACCCAAUCACACCUCCAAUCCACCCACAGCCACACCCACAGCAGCCAGCGGUUCCACCGCAAGUGGUUCUUCGCAUAAGCUUCCCAUAUUCAUCACGAGAAACACACAACCAAUUAAUAAAUUCUGAUUAAUUUAAAAGAUAAAAAAUAAAAAAAUAAAAACGAUAUAAUCCAAGAAAAUCCACCACAGGGGUGUUUUUGGGCUCCCGAGCGCUAGCUCUCAGAUCUGAAGUUCUAACCCAAGAAUCCCAGGUACUUUUUGUUUCAAUCUCUUCAUUUCUUGUUAUAGUUGGUCUAUAAAUUUUCAAAUUUCUAAUUUUGUGAGAAAGGAGGAAGAAACCAAAUAUGGGUGAAAAAUUUUGGUUGAAUGAAGAGGAAAAGGCUAUGGUGGAGUCAGUAUUGGGUGCAGAAGGGUGGGAGUUUUUGAUCUCGUGCGCUUCUGAUAAAACCCAUUUGUCAGAAUCGGGUGUCGCAUCCAGUGAUGGUGGUGUCCAGAAGGGGCUUCGUCAGCUUGUUGAAGGGUCUAAUUGGAGUUACGCCAUAUUCUGGCGUGUUUCGAGGGUGAAGGAUGUGUUGAUUUGGGGUGAUGGAUAUUGUAGAGAGGCAAAAGGGGAGGUUGGUGAUGGUGGUUUGGAGGAAGUGGGGAAGAAGAAGGAGGUGCUGAAGAAGCUUCAUGAGUAUUUUGGGGUUGGGGAGGAGGAUAAAUACUGGGCUAAAUUGGAUUUGUUGUCAAACAUCGAGAUGUUUUAUCUUACUUCGAUGUUUUAUUCGUUUUCGGGUGAUUUGCAGUAUGGCCCUGCUCUGGUGCUUAAGUCUGGGAGAUGGGUUUGGGUUGUUGAUGCAGUUGGUUGUUCAGAUCAGUAUCGGGCAAGGUCGGUUUUGGCAAGAUUGGCAGGGUUUCAGACAGUUGUGUUUGUGCCAGUGAAGGAUGGGGUGAUUGAGGUUGCUUCUUUAAUGUUGGUUAAGGAGGAUGAGAAUGUUGUGAAGAUGAUUAAGGGUGUAUUUGGGGGGAUGAAUUUUGGGCAGGCGAAGGUGUAUCCAAAAAUAUUUGGGCAUGAACUUAGUCUUGGUAGUGGGGCAAAGUCACGGUCAAUGAGUAUUAAUUUUGCCCCCAAGUUGGAAGGGGAUUCAGGGUUUGGUGCAGAAUCAUAUGAUGUCCAAGGCUUGGGUUCAAAUCAGGUUUAUGGGAAUUCCUCUAAUGGGUGUAUGAAUGAGGAUAAUGAGGGGAAAAUAUUCCCUCAGCUCAAUCAAAUAUUUAAUGCUCAAGUAUUGGUUUCUGGUUUUGAGCAGCCUAAGGAUGACUUGUUGCCUAGGGUUGAUGAACGAAAACCUAGGAAGAGAGGAAGGAAGCCAGCUAAUGGGAGAGAAGAGCCAUUGAAUCACGUGGAAGCUGAGAGGCAGAGGAGGGAGAAGCUUAACCAAAGGUUCUAUGCAUUAAGAGCUGUUGUUCCUAAUAUAUCCAAGAUGGAUAAGGCCUCGUUGCUUGGUGAUGCCAUUUCAUACAUUACUGAUCUCCAGAUGAAGAUUCGGAUAUUGGAAGCUGAGAAGGAGAUUGUAAACAAUAAGCAAAACCAAUCACCUGUGCCACAGAUCGACUUUCAGGAUAGGCAGGAGGACACAGUUGUAAGAGUUAGCUGUCCCUUGGAUGCUCAUCCUGUUUCUAGAGUCAUAAAGACGCUUAAGGAACACCAAGUUGUAGCUCCAGAGGCUGAAGUUUCCACUAUGGAAAAUGAUAAGGUCCUUCACACGUUCUCCAUUCGGACUCAAACUGGUGCUGCCGAGUGCUUGAAGGAGAAGCUGGUAGCUGCCCUUUCAAAAUGAUUUGUCUGUAGAUUUUGCGUUUGUAAGAUGAAUUCUAAUGAAUGAUAUACAUCGUCCUGCUGAAAUUCGGGAUGUCUUGUUAUUGACUAACUAAUGUGUGUGUCUUCCUUUGUUGUUAAUUGUUUCUUAUCUGGCUCAGAUUGAUUGCUUCCUUUCAAAGUGAUCUGACUGUAAAGUUGUGUUUGUAAGAUGAUAUCAAUGCAUGCUAUGCAUUUCCCUGUAGAAAAACAUGGAAACACAUCGUUGCUGGCGAAUUGGUGUUUGGUAUUUGAUAUUUAAUGAGUUCUAUAUGACUUCAGACUGCUCAUUCAAACUUCUUCAGCCAAUUUUGUGAUAUUCAAAAACAGAGUAUGUUCUGUGAUAUCUAUGCAUUGUUCAACACUAUAAAGUUCAUGAAGCUGAUUAAGGAAUGUAGAGGCGGCAAGAUUACUAGGGAAAACCUAUACCGGUAAUUUCUUCUUGACCUGAAGCAUCUUGAUUAAACUAAGGAUAGUUUGCAUUUCCUCUUGAUUGACCAUUCCAUUUAUUGGCUUCCUACUCAAGUCUACAUUUGGAUACCUAUUUUGAUUAUUUGGAUACCUAUUUUGAUUAUUUGGAUACCUAUUUUAAUUACUCUGGUCUACAUUUGGAUACCUACAUUUGGCUUCCCAGUCGGGUUUUGAGGGUUUAGGGUUUGGUUCUUACACAAUAAUACACAAGAAAUGGAAACUUUGCUUAUUUGCUUUCAAGAAAUUGAAAAUUCACUAGGACUAAAUUUUCUGCAUCAUUGUUGUUUCUUUUUUAAUUUAUUUUCAAUUGCCAAGAAAACCAAAAUGAAACAAAAGAAGGGAAAAUCAUUGCAGCAUCAAGAAUCAUGAUAUGAUUCCCAAGAGAUUGAAAAAAAAUUUUCACUAAAUCUUGUGCAAAAAUUGCUAUGCUGGUAUUGCCUUCAUUUUGCCUCAAGUUUAGAUUUUCCUUCUCUUUUUUUUUUUUUUUUGUGUCGCCGUGUCUGAUUUCUUGUUCUAUUAGGAGUGAUAACAAGUGAUUUAUACUUUUGGGAAACCGAGUAUCGGUGAUAGUGGAUAUCUUUGGGGUUUAUGACUUAUGCUUGGUUUAUUACAAAACAUAAACAUGAGAGAGAACAAGAGUAUACUUAUUGCUUUUUCAAAUUCUUAAAGUGAGUUUAUGUUUAGCUUCACCCAUUUAUGAUUUUUUUUUUUUAUAAGAGACGAGAAACCGAGAGUUUGAUUGCUAGAAGAGUGGUAGACCACACAAACUUUUAUCUCAAACUCAGAUGGUAGCCCCACUUAAUGCAGAUGAUGCAAUUUACUAAGGUGUACUCCUACUUCUCUACUCUUCUUAAUUCAUCUUCUCUGCAGAGUGAAUAUAUUUUCUUUGUUUUUGAAUGCUUAUGAAACUUACCUUUUUGAACAAGUAACACAAUCAUUUUUCAUGUAAUAGUUCAUUGAACUAUUGAGUAACCUAAGUACUGUUUCAGAAGUCUAGGAAUUCUUUUUGUUUGGUAGGUCAUGGGAUCUUGUUGUCUUUAAUGAUAUUGUGUUGAACCCAAGGGUGGGUUUGUAGUUCUUAAAAUUGGUAAUAGCUUCAUAGUAUGGAAAUGAGAUUUUUUUCAUGAUGCGACCUGGAACUGGAAUCUUGUAAUACUGUUUCCGAACUUUGUAGUAAUUAUAUGUUAUAUAUUUUAGAAAUAUUUUUAUAAAGGAGCAAAGAAAAAUUACAAUCUUUUCUCGACUUUAAAUGAUAUUCAUUCUGAAAUUCUUUCUUUUCAUCAUAGUAAUUUUUUUAUUUUUUUUUUAUGAACUUGUUGGUGUUACGAAUUUGUUGCAAGUUUCCUCAAAAUCUGGCAGUAGGAAUUUGCAAACUAGGUGUCAUAAUCAAAUAAUACUCAUUUAAAAAAAUUAAGGUUCCACGAGGGCAUAAAUUGUUUGACUUCAACAAGAUGCCCAUAAAAUAUGUAGAUGCCUCGCCUCUUUGAGAUGACUUUUCCUGUUCCAAGCCAAUUUACUUGGCAUACUGCAACAAGUUAUGGAAAUUGGUCCCGCAUCUCACUAAUCAAUCUUUUCAUGAAUACUUCCCUUAAUAAAUACUUUUAAAUAAUUGAAUGCAAAAAAUAAGUAAUAAAUAAAAACUAUUUAAAUUUUAAAUUCUUUCAUAUAUAGAAACAUUUUUAUAAUUUUAAAUUCAAUAUUAACAUUUUUAUUUUAUGGAAGCCUUUAUGAUUUCUCAUAAUAAAUUUGAAUGACCAGAAUUACUUUUAAAAUGAAGUAAAAGAUGGUGUGAUUGAUUCUUUUAUGCCAUUGUUGUAAGUAUGUUAUGCUUAUAAAACUAUUUUGGCACUUGAUUUAUAAUCCGUGUGGUAGUAAUUUUAGAAAGCUCUUUUAAUAUUUUUAAUACUUGAAAAUUUUUAUCAUUUAAGUGUUAGAAAAGUUAAAAAUGUUUUCUAAAAUCACUCCCAAAUGCACUCUUAUUAUAAGUAAUUUUGUUUUGGUAUCUUGAAUUAGAUUGAACUAGAUGGCACGAGAGUCACACAUAAUAUUUUGUUGGUUAUUAUCUCAAUUUGUGUUACUAUUAUGUUAAAAGUACAUUUUUAUCGUUCCAUUUCUUUUGAAAAAGAUUCAUAUCAAAUUAUUUUAUGUUUUAUUGUAUUUUGUCAGUUAACUAAUUCAUACCAAAGAAAAAGUACACAUAAUGUUCUUGUUGUUGAAUACAUAGUGGUGGAUUUCACCAAUUGUGGUAAAUAGAUUACAGACCUACUAUCUGUAAUUCUUUACAAGGUUUUUAACAAAUGAGAAAGUCACAUGAUGAGAUUGUACUUACCUUCACUUCAGUUGCAAGGAUAGUUGUAUUGGUUUGUAGGAGGUAUUACAUCUUUUAUAUGAGAUUCCAUUAUUACUUUGCUAAGAAAUGAGAAUAGUUAACUCUCACUAAAAAAAAAAGAACCUAGCACUAAUUAAACAUUUGGACUUUAAAGCCUAGGUUAUUUUAAUCUAAAUAGGAUCCAAAGACUGGUUAGCUCUAGACAUUAUGAUUCCAGAGGUUUGUCAAUUUAUGAAUCCUGUAUAGAUGGUAAAAAUGACUAAUAAAUCUUUUAUUACUAAAUGACAUAGAACCAAUGAAUGUUUGGAAUUAGUGCAUACUUAUGUGUGUGAAAUUUUUGGAGUUCAUACAUAGAGAGGGUAUGGGUACUUUAUUAUUAUUUUUGUGAAUAUCGAAUGGGAUUGUUCAAAUCCUUUAAUAUAAUGGGGUAUAGUGUUGACAUCUUAGAUCUAAGCAAUAGAAGCAAUAUCAAAAUUUAAAAAAUUAAUCUUUUUGUGUUAAAGUACUUACCUUUAGGUUUGGAUGAUUUAAAACAUUGAAUCCAAGUAUUAAAAAAUUGAUAGAAGACAAAAAAUUGAUGGAAACCCUAACCCUAUGGGGUAUUUAUAGGGUUCCUAACUAGGCUUAAGUGACUUAAUAUGUUUACUAAAUGGGUUAUCUGAUUUUACCUUAAGUUCAUUAAAUUUAUCCGAGGCAUCAAAUUUUUUAUGUACUAGGUACACAUAUCUAAACUUAGAGUAUACUCAAACAAUAAUUUUGGUUAUUUCGAAUGAUAGAGUUUAGGAAUCUUGAUUGCAGAGAAGUUUAAUACAAAUGUGGUAAUAUUCCCUAAAAACAUUAUAACGAAAUAUGAUGUGAAAAAAAAAUCGAUUUGCUAUAGGAACUAAGAUGGAUACUGCACAAUAAUUUUGGUUCCUUCGAAUGAUAGAGUUCUAAAAUCUUGAAGGCAGAGAACUUUAAUAAAGAUGUGGUCAUAUUCCUUAAAAUCAUCAUAAUGAAAUUUGGUGUCAAAAGUGAUCAUUAAAAUUCUUGAAUAUACUUUAGUAUUGUCUUGCUCAAAUAUAGUAGCAAACUAGUUUUUUUUGCACCAAAAUUCGUUAUGAUGAGGUUAAGGAAUAUAUUCACAUCUGUUGUAGCUUUAUUCCAUGUGAAGGUUUUGAAAACCCUAUAAUUCGUUAUGAUUUUAUUUUGCACAAAAUUUUGUUAUGAUGUUGUACGCACAAAUUUUGUAAAAUUUUGGUCCUGCAAAAAUUAGCAAAAUAAAAUAGGAAAAAUAAUGUGAACAAAUGAUUUAUUAAAUUUAAGAAUAUUACGGGUAUAAUCUCAAAAAAUAAAAUAAAAUUCUUUCCAACAAAGAGUAUUUUCCUUCUGAUUCUUUUGCUUUGAUCACACUUUGGAAGACGACAAUGACGUUUUCUUGAUUUCAAAGGUCAAUCGAUGGUCACAAGUGGCUUAUUCCCGAAUGACCUUGUUGAAUGACAAAGAACGAGUGUAUUAGUUCUUUUACCGCUUACUAAACUUGUAGGGAGAUUUGAUGAAACUCUUUCUUUUAUUGUGAAGCUCCUUUUCCCGUACGAAGUUACCUUUAAAUUUUCUCCUUAGGAUUUUCCUUUCUGGAAAUUUUCUCUGAUUUCUGAAUUUUCUCUCCCCUCUUUCUUGAUGGAAGACACCUCUAUUUAUAGGUGAAGAUAGGUAAUUUGAAUUUCAAAUUCCCCAAUUUUAGUUGCUUAAUUCAAGGGAUUUAGUUCCUUAAUUUUAGCAAAUUUUCUUCUCCGGGAGGUUUUACCAACAAGAUAAUAAUAAUAAUAAUAAUAAUUUUCUUAUUAUUAUUAUUAUUAUCCUUUUUAUAGUUGGAAAUAAGAGAGACUUAUCCAUAAGAUGAUUUUUUUUUUAGAAGACCAAAUUAGUGGUAAUUUAAUCCACUAAUUUUUUUAUGUCUACAAAUGUCCCCACUUCAAAACGCAUCACGUACAUGCAUUGUCAUGUGGAUGGGGUGAGUCUUGAAGUAAUAAUUUUUUUUUUUUUUUUUUUUUACACUUUAACUUUUUCCAAGACUAAAAAAAGAUUUAAUCUUGCGAGCAUAUGUCCUAACUUUUGCCUAAGUCGCCUUUUCAAGUUUUCAACUUAGCGAACUUUUUAUUUUAUUUUUUUUUAUUUUUUAUUUUUUUAUGCGUCGUACGCAGUUUAUGCUCAUGCGGGCCAAGAACAUCACUUGUCUUGAGUUUGAUCGAAGGAUGAUAAACUCACGUCCUUGGAACAAAGUUUAAUUGAAGGUCAAGAUGACUUAUUUUCAACCAAACUUGUAAAGACCUUUCUUAAGCAUUUUGGAGAACAAAGAAGUCAUUUGUCUUGAUUUUCUUCAGUCUUAAAAGUGGAUGAAUGACACUUUUGUAUUGUGUUUGGUAUUCUUCCACGAGCUUGUUAAAGAAUGUGUCAAGCUUGGACUUGAUUUUAAUCCAAGAGUGGUAACCACAUGUUUUUGGAGCAAAAUUUAAAUGAUGGUCAAUGAUGACUUGAUCUUAAGUAAACUUAUCAACAAUUUCCUCAAGUGUUUUGAAAAACCCAAUCUUUGUCUUCUUUAACUUUGAAGGUGGAUGAAUGACACUUUUGUUUGUGUUUGAUAUUCUUCCACGAGCUCGUUGAAGAAUGUUUGGAGUUUGAUUUUGACUUUUGAAGCUUCAUUUGGAUUUAGCCUCUAAGUUGCAUCACCAUUUGAGAACGUGUCAUGCUAAAAGAAAAUAACACUUGUAUGUAGAGAAGUUGGAGAUUUUAGUUUGGAAUCUUCGAAUUUGACUUCUUUAAUGUAAAGAGUCUAUUUCUUAGUUUAAGAAGUUUGCCAAUAUUUUUUUAUUUAUUUUUUAUUUUUUUACUACAAUUUAAGCUCUUGUAGGAUAGGAGAAAUAUGUAGUUUAGGCUCAUGCUUUAAUGAGCAUCACUAGAAUGCCGAGGUUUGAAAACAAUUGUGGUAAACUUUGAUGUUAUGCUCUUUUCAUUGCUGCUGGUGUAGGUGAUGUUUACACAGCAUGUUGCACAAUCGUGGUCUUUGUCCUUAAAUCGUUUUAUCCCCUUUAUUUUUAUGGCAUAGAGUGAUGGAUUCUUAAGUACCUCAUCAUUUUCCUUGGUUUUGCUUGGCUCUGCACCAAAAGCGUUUUCUUCAUCUUUACCUGACUCAUCUUCUUCCGAAAUCUCAUGACAAGAGACCAUAUGAGUUGAUGUCACCAUCCCUCUAUUGAAGAACUCCAGAGGGAAGUGUUCUCCUAAGGUGAUAGGGGUGAUGAGCUUUUGUGCCAAGAGGUCAUCAACCUGUACAAUCGUUUGUUUUCUUUUAGGUUUCUUUUCUUCUUUCUUCUUCGCAUAUCGAUGAAUAUUUUGCUUACGUUGUUCCUUCCUAGGAAGAUUUGGGUAGGGAUGAGAUUCUUGCUUCUUGUGAGGUCUUUUCCGUGUCACCAAUGUCCAACCUUCUUCGUUAUACGACAUUGAUUUAUUCUCAAAAUGGAAGUGACGAAUGGUGUCUUGACAUGACACUUGUGUUUGCUUUGGUUUCGUUGACUCACAUUAGAUAGUAUCGGCGCAUGCCCCCAGUGUCUUAGGUGGAACAUGUAACAAAACAGGAUCAAGGGACCCAAAUGUGACUGUAGCAUGAUUUGACUCUACUACUUCAUCCAGAUCCAGAUGAAUUCUUCCUUGUUUUGCAAGUUUCAUUAUAAGAUCUUUUAAGAUGAAACAUUUCUCCACUGGGUGACUGAUGAUUUGAUGGUAAUGAUAAUAAUUCGGAUCAUUAACACGACCCAUUUCUUCUGGAUGCUUGCACUUAGGUAGCUUAAUAACCAUUUUCUGGAAUAGGUCUUCCAACAUGCUAGGCACAUCAGAGUCAGGAAAAGGAUACUUCUUCUCCUCUAAUUCCUUUAAGCUUAACUGACACCUCUCAUUUUCCUGGGUUAGUCUAGCCUCUUUUAUUUCCUUUUUUUUAUCUCGCAUUGAGAUUUUGAUAGGAGUUGCAUUACUGUCAUGGACUCUUGGAUGGGUUUUAUUGAAUUCUUAUCACUUGCUUUCCCAUUGUGUCUUUUUCUUUACUAGUCAAUGAUAAGGUCCUUUUUAGCAUCAUGGUUGGCUAUGCUAAGCUCCAUGUCAUGUGCUCGGGUAGCUAACUCUUCAAAGGUCCAGGGUCGUAUCCCUUGGAGAAUGUAUAGGAGACCCCAAUGCAUUCCUUGUAUGCACAUCUCCACGACUGAUACCUCAUAUAAUCUAUCUUUGCAGUCGAGGCUUAAGGAACGCCAACGGUUGAUAUAGUCUACAACCGGUUCAUCUUUCCAUUGCUUAGUGUCAGUAAGUUCCAUCAUACUUACAGUUCAUCGGGUGUUAUAGAAACAGUUGAGGAAUUCACGUUCCAUUUAGUCCCAACUAUCGAUACACUCUGGUGCAAGGUCUAUGUACCAGUCGAAAGCAUUCCCUUGAAGAGAAAGGACGAAUUGUUUAACUAAUAAGUCACCAUCUGUACCUGCAUUGUUACAAGUUUCAACGAAAUGGACAUGUUGUUUUGGAUUGCCUUUUCCAUCAAAUAAUUGAAAUUUUGGAGGUUGAUAACCCAUGGGCAUAUGUAGGUUAUCAAUCCUCUUAGUGUAAGGUUUUGAGUACAUGAACAUACUCUGUGAGGAUCCAUCGUACUGCGCCCUAAUGGUGUUAGUUCUCAUGUCCUAAAGUUGUUGGACAGAUAAUGACGCCACUAAGGCAAAUUCCGUCGUUUGUCUUUUACCUUACAUUGUCCUAUAUGUAUGUGGUGCAUCAUCGAGAGGAGAUGCAACAUUCGAAGGGUGGUUGAGUCCGUGACUUGACUCACCCGUACUUUGUACUUGUGCCUCAACCUUGUUUAUGAGGGAGGUUAUCUGCAUAUCCUUCUCAUCAACCAUUUUGGUGAGUUUGGCGAUGGCACGGGCCAUUUCUACCAAUUGCUCCUCUACAGACGUAGUGCCCAUUGCCAUUACCGGCAUGGUCAACGAGAAGGGAAAAGUAACAGAGUUGGAAUGAUUGGAGUAGUUUUCCUCCUUUGACAUUCCAAUUAGCGACCCGAAGCAUGAGCCGGUGCUAGAGUUAGCAUCGGUAAUAGAGCAAGGAGAUUUAUCCCCAAAGUCCUGUAGUGUUGAAGGGAGUUUUCCCCUACUACGAGGACUAUGGCCCUUUGCCCCCAAAGAAACCAAGGUGAUGAGUGGUUGGUACUCAUCGCGUGUUCUUACCUGUUUUAGCAAACAAGCAAACUCACUUGUUUGUUUUGUUGAGAUUGAAGAUGUUGAUUUUGCUUUGCUAUGAGUCAUGGGGACCGUAGCGGUGUCAUGUGUCGAUUGUGCAAUGACGAUCAUGUCAUUGCCCUUGUUGACAUGCACAACUUAAGUUCUUUUGGGUGCCAUCGACGUAGUAGAGAUCAAAUUUCUAACAAAAGAUAUGAGAGGCAGAGAGGUCCCACCGGGCGUGCUAGAAAUUUGUAUGCACAAAUUUUGUAAAAUUUUGGUCCUACAAAAAUUAGCAAAAUAAAAUAGGAAAAAUAAUACGAACAAAUGAUUUAUUAAAUUUAAGAAUAUCGUAGGUACAAUCUCAAAAAAUAAAAUAAAAUUCUUUCCAACAAAGAAUAUUUUCCCUUUGAUUUUUUUACCUUGAUCACACUUUGGAAGAUGACGAUGACGUUUUCUUGAUUUCGAAGGUCAAUUGAUGGCCACAAGUGGCUUAUUCCCGAAUGACUUUGUUGAAUGACAAAGAACGAGUGUAUUAGUUCUUUUGCCGCUUAUCGAACUUGUAGGGAGAUUUGAUGAAGCUCUUUCUUUUAUUGUGAAGCUCCUUUUCCCGUACGAAGUUACCUUUAAAUUUUCUCCUUAGGAUUUUCCUUUCUGGAGUUUUUCUUUGAUUUCUGAAUUUUCUCCCCUCUCUUUCUUAAUGAAAGACACCUUUAUUUAUAGGUGAAGAUAGGUAAUCUGAAUUUCAAAUUCCCCAAUUUUAGUUGCUUAAUUAAAGGGAUUUAGUUCCUUAAUUUUAGCAAAUUUUCUUCUCCGGGGAAGUUUUACCAACAAGAUAAUAAUAAUAAUAAUAAUUUUCUUAUUAUUAUUAUUAUUAUUAUCCUUUUUAUAGUUGGAAAUGAGAAAGACUUAUCCAUAAGAUGAUUUUUUUUUUAGAAGACCAAAUUAGUGGUAAUUUAAUAUACUAAUUUUUUUAUGUCUACAGAUGUGUUUAAGGGAUAUGACUACAUUAGUACAGAAUUUUAUCGCCAUCUAGAUUUGGGAAGCCUAUUAGUUGUAGGAAUCAAAAUUAUUGAUUGGUUAUAUCAAAAUUGAUCCAUAAAAUUCUUUAAUAUAGUCUUGCUCUGUGGUAGCAAACUAGUUUUUUUCGCACAAAAAUUCAUUAUGAUAAUUUUCAGGAAUAUAACCACAUUUGUAUAAAUUUCUUCCCCAUCAAUAUUAUUAAACCCUAUAAUUCGAUAAAACCAAAAUUAUUAUUUGAGUAUAUCAAAAGUGAUGGUGAAAAUCCUUUAAUUUAUUAUGCUGUUGUUAUACUCGGUUUCGAUAACAAACUUAUUUUUUCGCAUGAAAUUUUGUUAUGAUGUUUUUAAGGAAUAUGACUAUAUCAAUAUAGAAUUUCUCCGCCAUCUAGAUUUGUGAAGCCUAUCAUUCGUAGGAAUCAAUAUUAUUAUUUGGUUAUAUCAAAAUUCAUCAUUAAAAUUCUUUAAUAUAUUGUAGUAUUGUCUUGCUCAGUUAUGGUAGCAAACUAGUUUUUUCCACACCAAAAUUCAUUAUGAUAUUUUCAGGAAUAUGAUCACAUUUAUAAUAUAUUUAUUCCCCAUCAAAAUUAUUAAACCCUAUAAAUCGAUAAAACCAAAAUUAUUGUUUGAAUAUAUAAAAAAUGACGGUUAAAAUCCUUUAAUAUAUUAUGUUAUUGUUUUACUCGGUUUCGAUAACAAAUUUAAUUUUUUUUCACACAAAAUUUUGUUAUGAUGUGUUUAUGGAAUAUGACCACAUAAGUACAAAGUUUCACCGCCAUCCAUACUUGGGAAGCUUAUCAGUUGUUGGAACCAAGGAUGAAAAUAUCGGUAAUCACGGAUAUAUCGGUAACUUGAUUUUACGGAUAUAUCAGAUAUAUCGGAGAAAUAUCGACGGAUAUUUUGGAAAAAAAAUUUUGAUAGGCAAAAAAUUGAUCAAAACUCAUAAAAAUGUAAAAAAAAAUCUCAUAACAAUGUAAUUAGAAGUAUAAUAGAUAAUUUAAAUUUAUUUUGUUGAAUAAUUUGAUAUAUAUAUUAUAUGAUUUGCGAUAUUAUAUGUAAUUAUAUUAUGUAGGUCAAUAAAAAAUAUGAAUUUUGUAAUUACGCAUUCAUUAUCAAGCUUCAUAAAAAAUUUGAUUUUAUUAAAUACAAAUAAUUUAUAUAUAUUAACUUGAUUUCAUUAAAUACCAAUAAUUUGUAUAUAAUAUCGCAUAGUUGGGUUCACUUUGGAUCGUUGGAUCACAUCCAAAUUCACUUUGGACCAUCACCAUGGAGUCAUGAUUUGUUUCCAUUUUUUUUUUUUUUUUUUUAUCUCUACUAAAUUUUUAAAAAAAUCAAAAGGCCACCCAUCCGAAAAGCCCUUUGCUGAAUACCUGCUUCUCUCACUCGGGCAUCAAAAAGCCCUUGGCUGAAGCUGCCCUCCGGACGAGAGAAUCGGCCCCAAUUUCCUCUUUCACUCUCAAUCCUCGCAGGUUCUAAUCUAAUCAUUUAUUACUUUUUUUUUUUUUUUGCAACCCCUGUUUGAUUCCCAAGAAAAUCCAUCCCCCAUUCAAUUUCCGGGAAAAUCCAUCCCCCAUUCGAUUUCCGAGAAAAUUCAUCCUCGUUUGAUUUCCGAGAAAAUCCAUGCAAAACCCUCAAGGAAAACAAAAAAAAAUUGCUUUUUUUUUUCUCCUUGUGUUUUCUGAUCUAUUCUAGGGUCGCUUUGCUUUUGUGCCAUUGGAUUUAAAAUUCACGAACCCUAAAUCCACGAUUUUUGAGCCAGGCUGAAAAACAACUUUGCCUGCAAGUCAUGAUCAGAUUACCAAGGAACAUCUUAUGUUUUUUAAAAAAUAAAAUAAAAAUUGGACAGAUUUUGUAUCCUGUGCGCAAGCUGGACUGGUAGGAAAUAUCGGGAAAUUUCUCGAAAAAUCGGCCAUACAAAUCGAAAUUUCACCAAUUUUUUGCUUGCAGCCAUGUUUCGGUGAUUUUUUCGCCGAUUUUAACAGAAAUUUGGCGAAAUUUCUCCCGUCGACAUGUCGCCCCCCUAUUUCGUAUCGCCGGCCAUCGAAACCCGAAAUUUCGGUGAAAUUUCCGUGAAAAAAAUGGAAACUUUCAUCCUUGGUUGGAACCAAUAUUACUAUUUGGUUACAUAAAUAGUGAUCAUUAAAAUUCUUUAAUAUAUUAUAGUAUAAUCUUGCUUAGUUGCGGUGGCAAACUAGUUUUAUUUUUGCACUAAAAUUCUUGAAUAUAUUGUAGUAUAGUCUUGCUCAGGUGUAGUAACAAAUUUUUUUUUUUUUGCACCAAAAUUUGUUAUGAUAUUUUCCGGGAAUAUAGACACAUUUGUAUUAAAUUUCUUCACCAUCAAGAUUAUUAAACUCUAUAAUUUGAUAAAACCAAAAUUAUUGUUGAGUACAUCAGUGAAAAUCCUUUAAUAUAUUAUGCUAUUGUGAUCCUUAGUUCUGGUAGCAAACUUAUUUUUUCGCACGAAAUUUUGCCAAGAUGUGUUUAAGGAAUAUGACCACAUCGAUUUAGAAUUUCUCCGAUAUCUAGAUUUAGGAACCCUACAUUCGUUGGAAUCAAAAUUAUUGUUUGGUUAUACCAAAAUUGAUCAUUAAAAUUCUUUAAAUGGCUGUAGUAUAGUCUUGCUCAGUUGUGGUAGCAGUCUAGUUUUUUUCACACCAAAAUUUGUUAUGAUAAUUUUCAGGACUAUGGCCACAUCCGUAUUAAAUUUCUUCCCUAUCAAGAUCAUUAAACCAUAUAAUUCUAUAGAACCAAAAUUAUUGCGUGAGUAUAUCAAAAGUGACGAUCAAAAUCCUUCAAUAUAUUACGUUAUUGUCUUGCUCAGUUCUGGUAGCAAACUUAUUUUUUUGGCACAAAAUUUUGCUAUGAUGUGUUUAUAGAAUAUGACCACAUUAGUAUAAAAUUUGUCAGCCAUCCAGAUUUGGGAAGCCUAUCAUUCAUAGGAAUCAAAAUUAUUGGUGGGUUAUAUCAAAAUUGAUCAUUAAAUUAAAAAUCUUUAAUAUACUCUAGUACAAUCUUACUCAAUUGUGGUAGCAAACUAGUUUUUUUUUUUCACUCCAAAUCCAACAGUUUGAUUAUUUUUUUUUUUUUCAGCAUCAAAACAUCGCCGUUUUGGAAUAUAUAAAACCUCCUUCGAAGCCCUCCCUCUCCAAACCGCAACCGUUGGCGCCCACCCCCAAUGUGCCGCAACAGGCUCUCACUGUCAGCUGUCAGCCAUUUCACCAUGCAAAAUCUCCCUCUUAACACCCCCUGCGGGCCCCAACGCCCCGCCGCCCCACCCCCCCCCCCCAGCCCGGGCCUACUGUUGUUUAAAUUCUUUAUCAAAUUGUAAAAUUGACGACUCCUUUAAUUUCAACUAUACUAUAAUUAAGUUUUAUUGAAUUAGUUUACAAAAAAAAUUAGUUUACACAAAAAAAAAAAAUCUUGAAUUAGAUUUUAAUAAUAAUGGUAAUUUAAACUAUAUUAUAAUUAAGUUUUAUUUAUACCAAUUCAUAUAUCAAGAACUUAAUUUUCAUUUAAUUAGAUAAAGUAUGAUAUUAGAAAAAGAAAAAGUAAACCUAAACAGAGAGAAAAAAAUGGAUGAGUAAUAAGAGAUAAAUUAAAAAUUGAGAGAAAUAAAUUAGGAAGUAAAUAAAGAAGGAUGGAAACAUUUAAAAUGAGUAUUCGAGGAAGGAAGGGGACUCAAGGUGGGAGAUUGGGAGCUGAUAAAGAAAAAACUAAAAUAUGUCUUAUGAGAUAUGAUUUAAUGGUAAAAUUAUUACAAUUUUAAAUAAAAAUUUUAUUUUAAAAUAUUUUUUAUUUAAAAAUAAAUAUUAAAAUUUUAAAUUUUAAAUUAAAAUUAUGAUUUUAAUUUAAAUUUUUAAUUUGAAACUAAUUUUCUGAUUUUCAAAUAAAAUUUUAAUUUUUAAAUAAUAUAUAAAUUAUUAUUUUAAUUUUUAUAAUUAUUUUAAAUUUUAAUAAUUUAUAAAAUAUAUAUUUAUGACGUCACAAAUUCAACCGCCGAUCCGACCAAUGAAUCGUGAAUCAGUAACUUUUCCGAUUCAAUGACCUAUCCAAUUCUAAAAAUAUUGAAAAUAUAAUAUAUUGGAAAUCAACCAUUGAUUACCAAUUGAGCAAAAAAUCACAAAAAAAUCGACAAAAUAACGGUGAUUCUCUAGCAACUUUUUAAAAAAUGCAAAUUUUUAUUAAAAAAAUAUUUAUAAUUUUUUUGUUUUUUUUAUAAAUUAUUCAUAUCUAAUUUAUCAUUUGUUUUAAAUUUAUAUCACACAUUUAUUUUAUAUCAUCCUUUUAAUUUUAACUACUUUUCAUAUUUAUCUCAUUAAUCCUAUUUUUUUUUUAAAAAAUUAUUACUUCAAUUUUAAUUUUUUUAUAUUCAUUCUUUUAAUUUUAUUUAAUUUUAAUAGAAGAUGAAGUUUACAUGGAAAUUCCCUCAGGAUUUGAGACCACAAGCAAUGCUAACAAAGUUUGCAAACUAAGAAAAUCACUAUAUGGCCUCAAAUAGUAUCCCAAAGCUUGGUUUGAUAGAUUCACAAGGGCAAUUAAAGAGGCACAAGUACUCAUGGGGAUAUAAAAAGAUUAAUUUACAAUAUGUUUUUUUUUUGUUUAAUUUAAUAGGUAAAUGAAAUGCCUUAUUGAAAGGAACACUUUAUUGAAGGAUAGAGGUUAAAAAAACAAAAGAGAAACAAACUAUUGUAGCGGUUGUGAUCAAACGAACACACUUACAACUUCAAAUAAGAUUUAAUCAAAAGCACCAAUUAUACAAACCUUUUGUGAAAACAAAAUGACAACUCAAUUUUCAUAAAGAUACAAAGGAUAUUACACAUAUUCUAACAAAUAGAUAAUCUAAACCCUAAAACACCUAACCAUAAACCUUAAGGAUUAAACUCUAAACUUUAAACCCUAAAACCUAUAAAUCGUAACCCUAAUUUUCCCUAGAACAAAAUUGGAAACAUAAUUAUAAAGAAAUAAUUCAAAUUAGACAGUCUAAUGGAAACAAAAUUUUAGAAUCUAAUAUGAAUAAAAAGAAAUGAAAAUGAGAUUCUAUGUUUUAUUUAUUUAUUUAUUAUCAGUUAUUGAAGAACUAACUAGAUCGUAAAGAAGAAUAGGAACGAAAUCAAAAUAUUGAAAUUAAUUAGUGGAAUGCUGUGCAGGAUCUUCAACCAAAGUUAUUCCCUAAACAACAUUUUAAACUUUGCUCAUAAACAAAUAGCAUAAUGAAAGAAAACAUCUAAGGAAGUUCAAAUUUCAGAAACUAAUAGCAAGAAAACUAAAAGGAUGUUAAAUAAAACAUUUCAAGAAGAUCAAACUUUAGAAACUAAUAUCAAGGGAACCAAAUUCAAGAUUCGGAUGCAUCACACCCAUUUGGCCUCAAAUGCAGAGACAUUGAAAGAAAAAGAAAAGGGAAAUGCCAAAUUUUCUUAAAGAAAUUGUACAAAAAAAAAAAAAACAAAGUCUAUAGAAAAUUACAUUUUCAGAAACUAAUGAGAAAAUCUAAUUCAAUUUUCUUACACUCUUCAGCAAUUCCUCCUCAACCACAAAUCAAAUCAAACACCUUGGAAAAACAAAUCAAUGGGAGACGAAAUCAAAGCCCCUAAAAUCCCUAGUUUUAUUUAAUUUUUCUUCGUGCUUUUCCUCCAAUUCAUCGAACAAACACAAGCCAGAUAAAUAUAUAUAUAUAUAUAUAUAUAUAUAUAUGAAAACGUACUCCAAAAAAAAAUCACAAUGAAAGAUGAAGUUAAAACCCAAAAAAUCCAACCCACCAAUUCCCAAGUUUAUUUAUACCCUAUCUCCAGAUGUCAAACCAAUUCAUGAGCAAAAUUCCAACCCCAAUCUGAAAACCAAAUCAACGGAAGUAAUCAAAACCCCAAAUCCAGUCCAUUCAGGGUGGAUUUCAGGUUUUUUUUUCAACUAUUCCUCAAAUCUCCCUACCCUCAUGCAAUAUACCACCAGAACAGAACCCAGAUCCAAAGAAACGAAAAAUUCAAACACGAGCCCAAGAAGACCUCCCAAAAAAAAUCCAAUUCAGAAAGAAGGCAACGUAAUCGACGGAGGAGAAAUCGUGAGCGUAGAAAAGGGAUAGAUUACCAAAAACGAAAACGGCAUAAUCUCCCUCGCUGCGUACAGUCAAGGUCGACUUCAGAGGGCGCCCUCUCGCUCUUUUUCUCUCCCCCUCCCGUCUCUCUGGAAAUUUUAGUAUUAUUUUUCGCAUUUUAUUUCCAACUUACCCAUGCCUUCUAGAGGUCUCCACAUAAAUUAAUCUGGGCGAAGCGUUGGGUGGUUAGUUAAAGGUUUUUGAAAGAUUGUAGAUGAAACAAUCAAGAACAAUUAAAGAUAACAUUU